RNAcentral lists this long non-coding RNA (62338 nucleotides) under Malus domestica (apple). RNAcentral's name for it is "long non-coding RNA (MDOM_LNC017152)". Lineage: Eukaryota; Viridiplantae; Streptophyta; Magnoliopsida; Rosales; Rosaceae. The record is from RNAcentral.
GCUGGGUACGAUUAACAACAUGAAUGCAUAGGGAUCCAGUACAGUUUGAGUUGUCCGAAGAAUAAAUGAUGCACACAACCAACCUUCCUAUGUAAUCAAAAGUAGGCGGCACUUCAAUUUCGACAGUUUCAUCCUCUCGCGCGACAUAGGGUAACCAGGGAGGAAUAUCAUUUACAGAGAGAGAAAGUCCAUCAAUUGUAUACCCCUCCCAUUUCUACAACACGAGGUGCAAAGUUAGUAUAAGCAACAAUACGAAAAUCAGAGAGGGAGAGCGAAAGUUCCAUACCAAUAGGAUGUUCUCCUUAAAAGUAGCAGUGAGACUGGCGCACCCUUCCAUAUGAAGGGUAUACAUGUUGCACAAGAAGUUAUCCAGGUUUGGAAUAUCUUUGAGUUUGCGGCAGUUUUUCAGUUGCAAUCCAACCAUUUUCGACAUCUCUGGAAGGCCGGGCAUUAUUUCCAGUUCAGUGCAGUAAUUCGCUUCCAGUCUACGCAAACUUGUAGGCAAAUCUGGGAUUGCCUGAAGGUUUGUGCAAUGAUUUAGAAACAAAGAUGUAAGCUGGGAAAGGCCACUGAGGAUGGGUAGCCUAUUAAAACCAUUUCCCUCUAGUGUUAAAAUCCUUAAAGAAGAUAGACUCCGAAGGCUUUCAAGAAUGGCAUCAUCCGUUAUAUUGCAGUCUUCAAGACCUAAAUACUGAAGCAUCUGCAACUGUGCAAAUAAAUGGUAACCCCAAGACACACUCUUACAGCCGUAGAGGCUCAAAACCUCGAGAUGUGGGAGUUUUGAAAAGUCUGGUAAUUGAGUCAGGUUACGGGAAUGAUUGAGAUAAAGAACCUUCAACUUCUUCGGCAACUGUUUGGCAAAAAGAUAGAACAAAAAUCAUAAUCCAUAUUAGAGAGAGAGAGAGAGAGAGAGAGAAUGACUGUCGACUGAUGUUGGUAUUUACAAACACGGACGAGGAAAGGAUUAAUAAUUUGGUUGAGGUUACGACAAUUAUAUGUAUCGUACCAGAUCGGAAUCCUCCCAAACUCGGACAAGCUUGCUGUACCUCAAGUCAAUAAGAACUAAGUUUCGUAAAUCAAAAUCAUCGGGUAUGACCUCUAGAGGAAAUCCCUGCCAACGCAAUAAUCUUAACUCCUUGGAAAGAUGACGGUAGCUUCCAGUGAGCUUUACAUUUUUGAGUCGGAGAAAUUUCAGAUGCCGCAUCUUCUUAAAUGCUUUUGUCCGGAAGGGAUGCUCAUCAGAAUUUUCUGGCAACUCUAAAGUUAGCCCUCUAAUUGCUUCCGUUCCCUGUUGGGGGAAAACAAGAACAAAUCUAAUUCAAGCAGAGCCAUGACUAUCUAUGAACGAACUACAAAUGCAGCGCAUACAAUGCAUUAGAUGUGGGAUAUGCAUAUGCUUCUGUUUAUUUACAUACAUUCAACAUAACAUUUUUAUUGGGAUUUGGGAAAGCACUUACAGAUUCGUCUCUUAACACGCUUGUUACGUCUUCAUGAUGCCAUAAUCGACUACGUUUUCCAGGUUCCAUAGCACAUUCUGCCCGCACAAUUUCUCUUCCCAUGUCUCGAAUCAAAUCAUGCAUCCUAAUGAAUCCUAAAUCAAAAUCUACAAGACAUCGAUCUUGAAUGGUUUUGAAUUCUGAUUCUACACAAAAGUGACUGCAACUAUCCAAUAUUGCCACGACUUCAGUUUCAUCCCGGUUAAUAAAGAAAUGAGAUAUGUCAAGGACACACCUUUCACAUGAUCAUCACUUAGCCCGUCAUAGCUUAAUCUAAGUGUUUCAUGAAUUUUUCCAUCAGGAAUAUUUCUCAAUUUUUCCAAUGUACUUUUCCAUAUGCUUUUACUCUUUUUCGUAGCCAACAAACGGCCUACGACUUUAAGAGCUAGCGGCAAUCCUCCACAAUAAUCGACAACAUCUGUUGCGAGUUCAAUAUAUUCUUCAUCAGGACAAUGAUUUCCAAACGCAUGCCAACUAAGGAGCUCAAGAGCUUCUUCAUCCGUCAUUGUUUGUGCCUUAUAUUUUUUUUCCACCUUCUGUAUAUUCAGCACUUGUUCAUCUCUUGUUAUUAAAAUAAUCCUACUUCCUGGACCAAACGAGUGAUGUUCUAUCGCCAAUUCAUCUAAUUGGUCCGCAUCAUCUAUGUCAUCAACUACGAUGAGUACCUUCAUGCUUCCAAGUCUUUUCUCUAUCUCCUUGGUCCCUUCGGCAACACUACUUAUUUUAAUGUCAGGCCGUUUCAAAAUAUCUCGAAGAAGUUGUUCUUGCAGACUAACCAUAUUUUUCUUUUUACUCCUCACCUCUUCAAGGUAACAUUGACCACGGAAACUAUGAUGGUAUGUGCUAUAAAUGGUUCUCGCAAGCGUUGUUUUACCUAUGCCGCCCAUACCCCAAAUUCCAAUUAUUUGAACAUCAUGUGAACCUUCAACAUCUAAGUAUUUAGUACUGAAUUCUUCCACGCGAAAAGCUAUUCCAACUGAGUGCUUGGCUUCUUUUAAGUCGCUGGUUUUUAGUAGUCCGAUGAUGUCCCCAACAACUUUCUGGAUAAAUACUCCUUCACGCCUGCCAAUUGGAAAUCCAAAUUAUGCAAACAGAUGAUUAAUCAUGCAACAGCAGGAUUCAUAUGAACUAAAUGCCUUAUGCAUCACGACAUGGCUGAUUAGUGAGUAUCCCAAAAGCUAAUUGUACAAGAUGUUGCAAGCGAUUAAAUUUUGUAAAAGAGGAAAUUAGAAAUGAUACCUGUCCGCAGUGGUUUCAAGAUUCCGGCCAACCAAAUCUGCAGAAGCCUUAAGAUCCUUUCUCCACUGCUCGACCUCAUUUGGGUCUUCAUCCCUUUCAUGCUUCUGAAAUGCUUCCCCAAAACUACCACUCUGUUUCCUCACUUCAGAAGGGCCACUCUGUUUCCUCACUUCAGAAGGGUCAACGUCGUAGAAUAUUGGAUAGACUACUUUCCCCUCUUGAUCUUCUCGGCACCUCAUGAUCUUCGACAGCUCCCUCAGGCACCAUCGGGACCCCGCGUAACUCUUUGAGAAGACGACGACCGCGACCCUCGACCCUUCGAUUUCUUGGUCAAGUUCUCUCUGUAUAUUCUCCCCCUUUCUGAGCUCGUAGUCUAUAAACGUGUUGAUUCCGGCAUCGCGUAACGCUUUGAAGACGUGGUCUGUGAACCCAGUGCGUGUGUCCUCGCCUCUAAAGCUCAGGAACACCUCGUACUUCCAGCGGUUUGAACGCCGAGAGGAAGAGGAACCGCCGGCGGCGGCGGUUGCAAGGGCGAGGCUGCCGGUAUUCAUUGAUUUCAAGCAAAGAAGUGAAACUCCUGAUCGUUUCAGUCUAAAGAAAACAAUUCUCUCCCAAGAUUCCCAGCGAAACUCCUGAUUAUUGUUUUGGAUCGCUGGAAGAUGUGAGAGCAAAAAAUAAUGAAGAAAGAAGAGGGAGAGAAGAUGCAAGAUGCGGCUGAGUAAGAAAAGAUGGGAGGGAGAAAAUAAUAACAAAAACUGGGAUUGAAUUAAGUUUUCAACAGACAAAAUAAAUACUAAAGUGAAUAUAUCAGGUUUGACUUUUUAGUGUAAAAAUAUAGUUUUUUGUUUAAGUAAACAGUACCGUUGACUUUUUGUUAAAACUCGCAUAAUAAUAUACCCACAUUUGUAGUAAGAAGGCUUUUCUUAAAAGACCUAGCUUCUCUGUCCUUCCACUUUCCAUAUACUUUCAUCCUCUCUUAUUUGUACGAUCACGGUUAAGUCACGUCUACAUUUUAUAUUCUUAUUAUCUCUAUAAAAAAAUCAAUAUAAAAUGUUGACACUUAACCGUGAUCGCAAAAAAAAAAAAGAAUGAAAGUGUAUAAGAAGUGGAAGAGCAGAGAAGCCGGUCCUUUCUUUAUGGGCUUGAUUGAUUAAGUCUAAUCUACCAAUAUAUUAUAUUUAAUAGGCCUUAUUGUAUAGGUUGUCAUUGUCGACGGCAUCGCGAUCAUUAUUCAAAGCAUAUAAUCAGUUUUUAAUUAAGGUGGAUUACUGUUCUGAUUGGUUUGAAACAUUCAAACUAUUAAAAUGUAAUAUAGUUUUGAAUAAUUGCUAGUGGACGUAUUAAACGAGAGUGCGAGAGGCACGAUAACGAUUCUUAUUGAAAAAUUUAAUCCAUAACACAUGAUGCAAAUUAAUUAAAUACAUAUUCAUACAGGCCAUGAAAUUUAUAAAUCAAGACGUGCUCAAUUAUCAAAUUUAUUAAAAAUUUCUAAGUACCUCAUUAUUUUGUUUGGAUUGAUCAGUUGACCCGAUUAAAAUGCCCACCCUACUUGAGAACCUGCAUUUACAUCGAAUAUGAGAACUUGGCUAGGUCUCGUCCAUGUCCUUAGUACAAUUAUCCAUUAAUGGUCAUAUAUAAUGUAAUGGCAUUUUUUUUUCGAACGACCAUAUUUGACCAUCAAUAAAUGAUUGCAAUAAGUACUUCAAUCCCUAGCUAAUAUUAUUAAACUCGAAUCGCAACGUUUACAUCGAAAAUCAGAGUAUUAAACAAUUCUUGCUCCACGGUUACCUAGUGUCCCCAUUAAAAUUGAAAGAAGGCUACAUGUGCUCUUAGCAAAUUAUUAUUGGCACUUCAAAAAUCUCAUUUUGCACUCCAAACUUUCUAUAAUUAGAAAGAAAAAUAUACUUGUGAGAAGUGUAGAAUGAGAUUGUUGGACUGCUAAUAACAGUUCCCUAAAUAAAUAAAUAAAAUUAAUAUAUAUUCGGUUCGGUUUUAGAAUCAUUGAAACCGAAACCAAACCAAAUGAUUUCGGUUUGAUUCGAUUUUUUGUUCAGUUCGUUUUUUAGGUUUCGGUUCAAUGUUCCGUUCAUUUUUUUUCCUAUUUUUAAUCCACCCUUAGUUCACGACCUUAUUCUAUUUUAAAGGUGGUGUACAGGUUGGUUCAACUGAUGUUGAUGGACGUCAUGGGUUUAUGAACAAACAUGACAAGGUUGCACUGGACAUGGCACAUGUUUGUGGGUUUUGCAUUGAUUGAAUUGUAUUUUAAAUGCAAACAGAUGAGCCAGAGUUUGGCAAUCAAUGCUCCAAUUAGGAUAAAGUCUGAGGACCAAUUUUAACAUUAACAAAACAUAAUAAUAGUAAUAUGCCACUUAUUCAAUAUGCUAAUAUUCAAUCUGAUUUUAAUGAUUCACAUGCAACGAUUUCAUAGUCACAUGAUGUUUUAAUAUUGUAUGUAUAAUUUUUUUAGAGACAUCACGCGACGAAAGGCCAGGGUUCUGCUGUCCCGAACUUUGUGUCUCCUGCCAUGUCUCCUUCUAAUUAUGUCAUUUAACUUAACUCCCAAUUUAACAGUGUCAACUUUUCUUAAUUAAUAUUUAUUUAAAUACAAAAACUGAUUCCCCAAAGAAAAUUGAAAAUCAAAACAAAAAGAAAACAAAUCCCAACUGGAAGUCCGAAAGUCUGCAGCUCCCUCCAAUCUCAGUCGGCGGCAAUUCACACGGCCGUUGAAGCUUCCAUUACACUCUCUUUCUAUAUCUCACCAGCGAAGUCCCGUAGGAUGAUUGAGUCAAACCUUCCCGUAUAUUAUGAUCUCGCCGUUUAUUGUCAUCGAGUCGAUUCAAAUCUCGUUUCUAUAGAUUGACCAAAUUUCUUCCUUGCUUCCUCAAACCAAAAAUUACAUAAAAUUUGAUGUUUGACGGGCCGGGUUGAUCACGAUUGGGUAUUUGAACGGAGAAAAAAAUGGCGAACAGAGAGAAAAGGAGGUUUCGCCAGCCGUGGAGUUCUCCGAUGACAGACCGAUGUUGUUGGCUGUCGAAUUGGUGUUGAUGGGAAUUUGAGUGGCUGUUGCUUUUAAUUUUUUAACUUUUAGUUUUUAUUUAUUUAACCUUAUUAAACAUUUUUUGACAAAAAAAGCCUUAUUAAACAUUUGACACUGUUAAAUUACAAGUUAAAUUAAAGGGUAUAAUUAGAAGGGGACAUGAAAGGAGACACAAAUUUAGGGACAUCAAAUCCCUGGCCGUGUAAAGAGGAUGAGAGCCUACGGACCCUAAUGAGCUUGACCACUGGUUUGAUUGAUGACUAAGAAUUAACAUCUCUUUUUAUGUGACUUGAAGCACAAUUAGGUUUGAUAUAAAAUAAUACAAGAAAGUAUGAACCUAAGAAUUUGUAGUGGAAAAUACAAAAGGUUUUUAAUAUACCAAAGAAAUAACGUAUCAAUCAUGAGUUGUACGUUGUUUUGUAUUUGUCACUGAUGGAUUAGUCAUCGUCAUUGUCAAUGUCAUCGUCAAACUCAUAUGAUAUAGUAUGAUAAUCCUCCUCACUAGUAUCAUUAGGCUCUAUAUAGUACACGUUUAUAAUGCACCAUAUUCACUCCUGAACGAAAAAAGUAUAGGAAAACAAAAAUUGGUAGAAAGUGAGAGACUCAGAGCAGUUCCACCGGAGCUUUGUUUGCCCAUCACCCAGUAAAAAAAAACACACUGAGGGUCUGUCCAUUCACUUCAGCCAACAAAGUUGCCUGACACCCAACCCAAGCCAGGCAACAAACCAGCCCAUUUUUGACAGACCCAAGAGCCGGCCUAUUUGGCUGGCGCGUGGCCGCGAGUAGGAGACAAGGUUGCAGAGGGCUGUCAACCCACUUGUGCUCCGGAGCCCCAUUAGUGACGUGGCAUGUUCAUAGCCGUUGGAUUUCCAACAGUAAAAAAAAUUUAAAAUUUACUUUUAAACUGGACCGUCCGAUCACAAAUCAACGGUCCACGUUUUUUACCCCAAUACAGAAAAUUUUUAAUAAAUUUAGAUAUUAUUAUUAUUAUUAUUUUAUUUUUUAUAAAUUCAGAAAUUAAAAAUAAAAUUAUUAUUUUAUAAUAAAAAUACUAAUAUUUUAAUAAAAUGGACUAUGCUAUUCUUUGUUAGGGGUGGAGAUGCUUUGGCCUAUUACUAUUCACUGAGGUCUAUUACUGUUCACUUGAGUAGAUAAAUGCGCUGGGUGCUGGCACAAAGUCCUUAGGGGUGGACUUGCUCUUAGUGAAAAAGAAGAGAGUGGUAUUUUGGGAGAAUGAUUCUACGAUCUGUAUGUUCACAUAGAUGUGAAUUAUACGUAUUACAAUUUGACCUUGUACAAACAUUUAGGGCACGUUUGUUUGGCCGGCUUAAGUUUCACUGGACUGGACUACUAAGCUAGAAUCAGUAGUCCUGUGUUUGGUGUAAAUUGGGAUUGUGUUUAAUGGGAUUAAGCCGGACUCGUGCCGACUAAAUUCUUCGCUAGGUGGGCUUAGCGAGAGCCACCAAAAACGAGGGGAUUUGUAGUCCCGCUUCUGUUCUUCUCUUCACCUCAUGUUGCUUCGCUUCACCCCAGGCUUGAACGACAACUUGCGGUCCCUUUCUCUGACUCUCUCUCUCUCCUCCUCCCUCUUCUUCAUCUCAGAAGAUCUCCAAAUCUGCAAUUUUGGGUUUGACGGAAACGAAUCCAAGAAAUCCAAGCCAUAGCCGUCUCUCAUUUCCCCGACUCCACAAACCCUGACUCGUUGCCGAACAGCUUGCCAGGCAUUGUUGCAGGCUGGUUCCGCCGCUCCACAGGCUUGCGGCUCCGAUUGAAUCCACGGACUUGGAAAGCUCUCUCCAGUUGUAAUCUUGCACCGAACAAAAACCUGAAAAACCAAGCUCGAUUCUUCGUUUUGCAGAAAAAAAAUUUGGCAAUUAAUCGGAAAAAAAGAGGACAGGAAUGAGAGAGUGGGACGGAGAGAACGAGGGAGAUAAAGAGGGAGAAAAGGAUGAGGCUUCCACAGAGAGAGGGAGAGUUUUAUUAGAAUAAAAAAGGUAGAAUUAAUUAAUAUAAUAUUAUUAGAUAUGAAUUAAAAAAUAUAAUAUUGUAGUUUGCUAUUAUCCUUCUUUUUAGUCCGACACUGCACCAAACGCUUCACUAAGUUAGUCCAGCUUAGUCUAGUCUAAGUCAGUCCAGCUUAGUCCCUGAAGCUAGUCCAGUCUGAGAUAGUCCGGUGCAACAAACGCACCAUUAAGUGAUUCAUGUAUUUGCUGAAUAGUUCAAAUUCAUCGCACUCUUUUCAUUUCCUCAAACAAAACAGAACAAAGAUAGACUCUUAAUUCAUAAAAUGUGGAACAUUUGUCCUUUUACACAUACAUAAUAAACGAAGCAUGUAACAUGUGUUUCACUUGCUUAAUUUGUCGGAAGUUCUCAUGCAAAUGCUAUGCAUUUUAUAAAAUUCUAAUACCAAUUCUAUACAUCUCGUCAAAGAGAGAUAAAAACACGCCACACAAGGGAAAAAACGAAGAAAACCGACUUGACUGGAUUCGACACAGGUAACUUAGAGCCACAAGUGUAACUACCAACGAAACUCAAUCUGGUUUUAUGAGAUUGUGAGAUUCUUUUGGGGUUACCAAGUGAGUCUUCUGCAUGAAAAGGAGGGAAGUCUUUGCGAAUAUGCUUGCAUAAUGUAACAACGUGAAAUCAGCGGCGUAAUUGCACUCUCAAACCCUCAAAGCCGGCCUUUCCCAGGACAGAUUCUUUGCCACAAAACUCGACGCUCUGUAUGCAAAAUAUGAGUCGCUCGGUCAUGCCCGCAAGGUGUUCGAUGAAACGCCCUACAGAAGUGUCUAUCUCUGGAACGCCAUUCUCAGGAGCUACUGUAGAGAGGACCGAUGGGAGGAGACCUUGUGUUUAUUUCGUAACAUGAUGUCUGAGUCAAGAGGUAAUGAUGAAAAGCCUGAUAAUUUCACCAUUCCCAUUGCUCUGAAGGCGUGUGCGAGGUUAAGGGCGUGUGCGAGGUUAAGGGCGUUCGCGUGUGGAAAAAUAAUACAUGGGUUUGUGAAGAAACAUGAGAAGGUUGCAUUGGAUAUGUUUGUAGGUUCUGCAUUGAUUGAAUUGUAUUCCAAAUGCGGACAAAUGGGUGAGGCUGUGAAAGUGUUUGACGAGCCGACAUUCACCUCUCCUAGACCCUACGUAAAGCGGGAGCCUUGUACACUGGUACGACCUUUUAUGUGUUUUUGUAUACUUUUAUGGUUACUGGAUAUGAGCAGAAUGGUGAUCCUGAAGAAGCAUUGGAGUUUUUCUCCCGAAUGGUGAUGGUGGGGCGCAUUAAUCAUGACCGAGUGACGCUUAUUAGUGCUGUUUUGGCUUGUGCUCAGUUAUCAAAUUUUAGAAUUGGAAGUUUUGUGCGUAGUGUUUCUAUUAGGAAUGGGUUCAACUCUAAUUUAUCUUUAGGUAAUGCGUUGCUAAUUCUAUAUGCAAAGACAGGUUCUGUCAAAACUGCCGCUAGGUUGUUCAUGAAGAUGCCGGAAAAAGAUGUGGUUUCUUGGAGCUCCAUGAUUGCGUAUUACACUCAUAAUGAGGAUGUAAUAGAAGCGUUAAAUCUUUUCAACGAAUAUUGAUAUGAGAACCGAACCUAAUUUAGUGACUCUGGUAUGUGCAUUGCAAGCAUGUGCACUGGCAGGUAAUUUAGAAGAAGGUAAGAAGAUCCACGAAAUUGCUACUAAGAAGUGUUUCGAGUUAGAUAUCAAGGUAGCUACAGCCCUGAUUGAUAUGUACAUGAAGUGCUCUGCACCCGAAAAAGUAGGUGAUCUCUUCAAUAUAAUGCCAAAGAAAGAUGUGGUUUCGUGGGCUGCCUUGUUGAGCGGGUAUGCUCAUAACGGAAUGGCAUACAAGUCAAUUGGGGUCUUUCGCGACAUGUUAUUAGACAAAACUAAUCCUGAUGUCGUUGCUAUGUUCAAGCUUCGUGCAGCUUGUUCGGAAUUAGGGAUUCUUCAACAAGCUUUUUGCCUCCAUGCUUAUGUGAUUAAACGCGCCUUCAAGAAUAACAUCUUUGUUGAAGCUUCACUCAUAGAGUUAUACUCGAAAUGCGGCAGCAUAGGCAAUGAUGUCCUAUUAUUUGAAGGGAUAACAGACAAAGAUGUCGUUAUCUGGAGUGCAAUGAUGGCAGGUUAUGGAGUUCAUGGGCAAGGAGAAGUAGCUUUAAAAGUAUUUGAUCGGAUGGUUAAGCAUUCAAAUGUCAAGCCUAAUGAUGUAACAUUUCUCUCGAUUUUAUCUGCGUGUAGCCAUUCGGGUUUGGUUGAAGAAGGCAUUGAGAUAUUCAACACGAUGUUGCAUGAAUACCAACUUAAGCCAUGACCUGAGCAGUACGGGAUAAUUGUUGAUCUUCUUGGCAGGACAGGAGAGCUGGAUAAGGCAAUGGAAAUCAUUGAGAGAAUGCCCAAUCCAGCUGCACCGCAUAUUUGGGGAGCCUUGCUUGGUGCAUGCCGGAUUCAUAAUAACACAAAGCUUUGAGAGGUUGCACCUAAGAGUCUUUUUCAGUUGGAUCCUAAUCAUGCAAGGUAUUACAUCUUGCUGUCGAAUAUAUAUGCCAUCGAUAACAAAUGGGAAAAUGUGACAAAUCUCAGAACUUUGAUAAAGGAGAAGGUGUUAAAGAAGAUGUCCGGGCAAAGCGUUGUCGAGGUGGGGAAUGACAUCUGUAGUUUUGUUGCCGGAGAUAGAUUGCACCUUGAUUCCGAUCAGAUUUAUGAAGUGCUAGGAAAUUUAGAGGUGAAAAUGAGAGAGGAAGGUUAUGUUCUCAAUGUCGAUCUCCUGCUACACAACAUGGCGAAUGCUAUCUAGAUUAGAGCGAGGGAUGUUGACAUGUAGAGGAAAUGAAUCCGGUAGAAUAGAAACAAGAGAUACGCAAGGCUCCCUUGAAAGCACUACACGCUCAUCCUCACUAGCUGACGUGGGACUCAAUCACUUGGCUCAAAUCUAAGCCACCAAUCUCCACCUUGGCGUGAUUCAAAUGCAAAUGCAAAUAGAGCUCCACCUUGACCACAGACACCAAAUUUCAAAUGAGCUCGCCCUUCAACUUCAACAAGCGUUGCCUAGGGUCUAAUACCAAUUGUUGUGCGGAAGCACACCAUCGGGUCUUACACACACGAGUCGGUAUUGCCGAUAUUCCACCUACUUUAUCCACACAAAAAAGGGUAUGGAUUUUAUCAAAAAGCCUUGGCAACAUGUUUUGUGUGAUCAUUGCUUAUAAAGCACCACAUGGUCAUCCUCAGUAGCCGAUGUGGGACUCCACUUGGCGCAAAUCUAAGCCACCGAACCCAACAUUCAUCAACCAGAAGGAAGAUUGAGUUGAGAAAAUUUGAAAUGUUAUACACACUUAUACGCUAUUUUUAGUUUGUCAUACAACUAAAAAUUUGAGUGAUUUGUCAUAUCAAUUUUCCAAAUUCACGAAUUUGUCAUCUCAACUUAAUUUCGUUAAGUUUUUUCAUGCAAAUAAGUUGCAAUCUUUGAGAAUUCAACAUGGUCAAUCAUAUAACGGAGUUAGAGUAAUAUGACAAAUCAAUAAUUUGUAAAUAUCGACAUGACAAAACGCUUAAAAUUUUAAUUCAUAUGACAAAUAAAAAAAAGUGUAUAAAUUCAUAUAACAUUUCAAAAAAAAUUCCAUACUGAAUUUGCACGGUAUGAUUAGUAACAAUUAGGGUUAAUCACAUACAUCAAACAACUAGGGUUAAUUAUAGGAGAGAAAAUAAGGGCAACAAUGGGAGUGGACGAAAGGUGAAAGGGGAAAUUAGUUUCUUUGAAAUGGGGUGGGGGGAGACCUACAGAGGGAUAAACACGACACAAACUUGCAUGUAAAUUUCUCUAAUGUAACUAAUGAAUCAAAUAAAAAAUCAUUAAUUUAUUUGAUAAGAAUAUAAGCUACUUAAAUGUUUAAUUAAGAGCUCGUUCGGCAUUGCUUCGCUAAAAACGCUUCAGCUAAAAGUGCUUUUAUUAUACCCACAUUAAAUCUUAUUAAAAAAGGAAAACUAAUUAAAAGGGUUUGAAAACUUUGAGUUUUAACGAUAAGGACAAAAUAAAGGGUAAAAUGAAUAGUAGCAGAUUUGACUUUUUAGUGUAAAAAUGUGAUUUUUCAUUAAAGUGAACAUUACCGUGGGCUUUUUGUUAAAACUCCCUAUUAAAAAUUCAAGUACUUUAUAAAAAGACACUUUGGAAUGCUUUCUUUCAUUUCCCGAUUGUUUCUUCUUCAUCGUUAAAGCUUCCAAUAUUGAGAUCAGAUAACCUUAAAUCUGUUGCAAGGUUGGACCUCAUCAGAUGAGUAAUCGCUUAACUCUGAAUCGUCGUCAGAGUCCUCCUCAUCAAACUCAUAUGGUGUAGUCUGCUAGUCCUCCUCCUCAUCAGUAUCUUCAUCAGAAUCAUAUGGCAAACGCUUAUAGUCCACUUCUAUCAGAUCUGAAAGUACAUAUUCCCAUUCUACGAUAUCCACUCCUAUUUUCUUCACCUUAAUUUGAUGAUCAUUAAAGUAUGCAAGCACACGAACCCUGUCGCCACCUUUCAGAUUGAGCUCCUUGUUUGUAAGAUUUCCCAUCCAAAGAUAACAUUCAUGGGAAGCAGUUACGGUGGCCUCCAUUGGCCAAAUGUGAAAACGAGUUCCCAGGGUACGAUUAACAACAUGAAUGCAUAGGGACCCAGUACAGUCUAACUUGUCUGAAGAAUAAAUGAUGCACACAACCAACCCUCCUAUAUAAGCAAAAGUAGGCGGCAUUUCAAUUUUGACAGUUUCAUCAUCUCGCGCGAAAUAGGGUAACGAGCGAGGAAUAUCAUUUACAGAGAGAGAAAGUCCACCAAUUACAUCCCCCUUCCAUUUCUACAACAUGAGGUGCAAAGUUAGUAUAAGCAACAAUACGAAAAUCAGAUAGGGAGAGCGAAAGUUCCAUACCAAUAUGAUGUUCUCCUUAAAAGUGGUAGUGAGACUGGUGCACCCUUCCAUAUGAAGGGUAUACAUGUCGUUGUUGCACAAGAAGUUAUCCAGGUUUGGAAUAUCUUUGAGUUUGCAGCAGUCUUUCAAUUGCAAUAUAAUCAUUUCCGACAUCUUUGAAAGGUCGGGCAUACUUUCCAGUUCAGUGCAGUAAUUCACUUCCAGUCUAAGAAAACUUGUCGGCAAAUCUGGGAUUGCCUGAAGGUUUGUGCAAUGAUUUAGAUAUAAAGAUUUAAGCUGGGAAAGGCCACUGAGGAUGGGUAGCCUUGUUUGGGUUAAAACUUGAAAUUUGGGCUCAAAAGGGAGUUGGCCCAAGAGAAGGUCUAGAAUGAGAGAAGCCCAAAGCUCAGCCGAAGCCCAGAAAGCAGAAGAGGCCCUUUCCCGACUAAGUGCAAAUCAUUUGCACCACUUGCUCACCUACCUAGAGGUUAAGUGGUGUAGACCAGCUAACUAAUCAGCCCAAAAGUACUUUAUAAUGGCAGUACAAGUAAAUAGUUGAUGAGUCACUGCCCUUCAAGCUACAUUCAGGCAAGAUUAAUGCUACAGGAGGCCAAGCCAAACUGUCUAUAAAAGAAGAAAGAGAAAUCAGAGAUAAACACACUCAAACAAACAAACAAAUACACAAACUCUGCUCAAACCAGAUUUGCAUACAAAGCUGUAGUCAGCAUCAAGCCUUCAUCCCUUUCGGGAUCAACCUUCACCAAAAGCCUUUGUAAAAGCUCUGCUACCUUGUCUAAAUCUUGCUCUAGUAUCAAUUUCCUUCUGUAAACUCACCUCCCUAUCCCCCUCUCUAGCUCUCAAACCCUUUUGUAAAUCACAAAGAUAGGAAGUUGCAAGACGAUCAGCCUUGCCCGACCCUCUUUGUUUUUGUCUUUUCAUUCAUAAAUCUAGUAAUAUGUUGUAUACUGCCAUUUGUAUCCAAGUUAUUUCUAGCAAGUUUAUGAUUAAAAGACUUCUCAGUUCUUGAAUCCGAUCGGGUUAAUAGUGCCCAACCAUGCAAAAGAUAAGUUGGAAUAUGCACUCGCAGCUUAAUAAGAUCUAAGUUCUAAUCUCUCGGGCGUACAAGAUUGAUUAUUCAAAAGUCCUUAGUCUCAAGGCAUAAAAAAGAACUUUAUGUGGACUUAAUCCAUCCACGACAAUCCUUGAUAACAAGAAGUCCGAAGUUGCUUGGGGCGCAAGUAAUCGACUUAUUUAUUAGUUUUAUCUCUGUUAUAUUAUAAUCAUCAUAGAACGUUUGAGAAUAGAAUUAAUUCUGAUAGGAAGCCUUAAGGCUUAUACCUAAGGCCCUACAAAGGCACCUAUUUGAGUUCAUUCUGCUCUUCAGGCUCGGGUGAUUAGAAGUAUAAUAGUUAUAAUACUCUGCAACAAUGAAACAACCAUUAUAUGUUCGAGUACUUGGUUAGUUCUUGAUUGUGAGCCUCAAGGCCUACACCUAAGACCCCACAAAGGCACCUUUCAUAACUAAAAUAGUCUAUCGGGCAUAUAUAAAAUUAAACUCAACAUCUGUUUUACAUCUGCCAUAUUAAAGAUGGCAGUGGCACGCCUGAGCACUUAAAAGUUAAUUUUGAUUGUGAGCCUCAAGGCCUACACCUAAGGCCCCAUAAAGGCACCUUUCAAAGUUAACUCUGUCAUUCUCUUUCAGCCUUGCCUGACAGGCCUUGCACGACAAGCCCACCAGUAAGCAGAAGCCCGACAGACAGUAUCAACCGGCGCCAACCUCUCGGGGAGCUGUGUGCUCGUUCGCUAAGAAACGUCCUCAUCGGAAAUUUUAGUGACGAACAUAGUUUUGGCACGCCCGGUGGGAUUCGUUAAUCAGAUCUUACUUGCCAAAGAAAUAUGUCAAGAAAACCUGAAGAUUUGAAAAGGGCAGUUGUUCCAGAAAAAUUUAAUGAAGACUUGCAAACUACCUUGUUGCAAAUGUUGCAGAGAUUGGAAAACGCCUCCACGGGCUUUAGAAGGAAAACAAACCUGGUUAUAAAACCAACUAUUCCUAUAUCUUUACCUCUAGUUGGGGACAAAGAUGAUGGGGAAGAAGAAAGAGGAAAAACCAGCCAGCCAGAGGAAGCAGUGGUGGAUAAAUACACAGAUCCUUUCUCAGAGGCCCUAGUAAAUAUGAUUAAUUUGGCAUGGGCCGAGAAGGGGAAAGAAAAAGUAGCAAUGGAAAUAGAAGAAGGAAAACCGGGUGACAAAUCCACAAAAGGGGUAAUCAAAGUGCCUGAACAUCCAAAAGCAGCUAUAAUCAAAGGGAUGGUUCUUUGCAGUAAAUGCCAAUGUGAGUGUGAGCUCGAAAUACCGCUAGCUGGAAUCCUCAUGGAUCAUGAGUUGAUCAGGAGGAAAGAAGAAGAAGAAAGAAAGGAGGCCCGCGAGAAAGCUAGGAGGACAACAGGGAGAGAUACUUCCCGAAGUGUUUUUCAGCGGUUAUGAGGUGAUUCCCAACCUAGAACUUUAUCAGAAAUAUUUCGAAAUCAUGAAGCUUCUGAGGAGGAGGAAGACAAGGAGGCCAAAAAUCCAAAAGAGAAGGGUAUAGAGCAUCCUCAAUAUGGCCAUAUGGGAAGAGAAGUCAAGAGGAAUGAUAGGAUAACAAAUCCUGUCAAAAAAUAUAAUCCUGCCCGCCUCGGGCGAAAAUGGUACAUGGUUGGAAAUAAUGGACAGCCCACCAAACAAAUGGGAGCCUCUAUGGUCAUAAGGGUCCAAAGGCAGCACAAAGCCUACAUGAACUUUUUAAAGAACCCCGCGACUUCUGAAGCAUCCAAGAAUCAAAAGUUUGAAAAAACAUCAUCUGGGGGGAGUAGUCAGUUCCACUGGAUAAGUAAAAAAGAGGUGGAGAGGGCUAAUAGCAAAACAGAAGGCGAGGGAAACCAUGUACCACAAAGCCUACAUCCUGGAAAGUACAAAAUAUUGAGGAGAGCUCAAGAAGAUAUGAUAAUGAUGCCAACUCCCGGAUGGAAGACAUAACCUAUUUGUUUUGGAACUGUUUCGCCCGAAAUGAGACCACUUUCUCUAUUUUUGGUGGAUUCUUUCGGUAAAAUUCCAAAGCAAAUACCGCAUUCGGGCAUGAAUCAACAGGAGGGGGCACCAGAACCACUACUCCCAAAAGAUGCGAUGACCUGGUUGGAUGAGUUCAUGGGCCAGAUCGAAAGCAAGAAAGAAGACCUUCCAGAGCCUAGCAAUUUUCAUAUCAAUAUGGCGUAUGUGUUAUCCGCCAUGUUUGGUGUCGAGCCUAAUCAGCCCGCCACUAUGGAAGGGGACUAUAUGACAACGGAGCCAAUGAUGGCCCAUGUCAGUGUUGAGGUAGCUGGAGAAAGAAAGUCGGGAAAAGCUGAAUCAUCUGAAGCAUCCAAUGAUGGUCCUUUAAGGAUUUAUACAGAUAAAAUGGUGUUCAGUCGCCCAAACAUGUUGCUAGCCAACCACCUUAAGCCAAUAUAUGUUGCAGCACAUUUGAAGGGGGUGCCUUUUAAAAGAAUUUUAAUUGAUGGAUGAGCGGCUGUUAACGUACUGCCAGACAAGCAAAUGAAGAAGAUGAGGAGAUGUAUAAAAGAUCUUAUUCCCACGGACCUCACGGUUUCAAGCUUCUCGGGCGCCAUCACCAAAACUCAUGGAAUAUUGCCCUUAGAAGUGGACUUGGGGUCCAAACAAAUCAUGUUGGCAUUCUUUGUGGUGGAUUGCACUUCCACCUAUAGAGCAUUACUUGGAAGGGACUGGAUCCACCAAAGUCUCGCCAUACCCUCCACUCUACAUCAGCAAGUAGUUGUUUAUCAUGAGACAGAGACAGAGGGACCAGGCUUUUGGGAGAUGGUAGAGGCCGAAUCACGGCCAUUUCUCCUUACAGCCAAUGUUGCGGAGGCAAGUUUCUACAAUCCCAACGUAGGAAUUCUGAAAUGUUCAUGAGCAGAUGAGAACGGCCGCCCUACCAAGGUGACGGCCCAAAAGCUCUUAGAACAAGGAAUGCUCCUUACUAGAGAGGAGUGGGAUAGACCCUGUAUCGUCUCAACGCCCCUACACCAUCAAUGACAGAACAAAAAAGGAAGGAUCAGGUAAUGGUAGUUAAGUCCCUGAUAAAAAAACUAUUGGUAUAUGGGAGAGAAAGAAAGCAAGAAAGGGAGCUCUUAGAGAAAGAAGAGCAGGAAGGGUAGCUAGGAACUCCAACCAACCAUGGUGAAAUCGGAGAAGAGCUUUACGGAGAAGAAUUGGAUGUGGCCAUACGAAUGGCCGAUUGCAUAUAUGACUUGGAUGGGCCAGACGACUUGCCCGAAAGCCCGGAGUUAGUUGAAUUUUUGUGCACAGAACCUGACAAAGCACUUCCAGAGGUUCAGGAUCCUUUGGAAGUCAUUGAUUUGGGAACAGAAUGAGAUCCAAGACCUAUUAAAAUUAGUGGCUUGUUAGAGACUAAUGAUCAGGCAAAGAUUAUCUGUCUUCUACAAGAAUUUAAAGAUUGUUUUGCUUGGCACUAUACUGAGAUGCCAAGUUUAUAUUCAACCUUGGUGGAACACAGAAUGCCCAUCAAUGAGGGGUAUAAACCUGUUAAGCAGACGUCACGAAGGAUGUCAAAGGAAAUAGAAGAAAAGGUCAAAGAAGAAAUUAAAAAACUAGUGAAAGCUGGAUUUAUUAGACUUGCCAAGUAUGUAGAAUGGUUGGCCAACAUUGUACCCGUUUUAAAAGUUAUAACUAAAGCAGUACGAUGUUGUGUUGAUUACAGAAAUAUUAAUGGCGCUACACCAAAAGAUGAAUACCCCAUGCACAUGGCUGACCUAUCCAUAGAUGCAGUGGCAAAACACAAAAUCUUAUCUUUUAUGGAUGGAAAUGUCCGGUAUAAUCAGAUAAAGAUGGCCCAUGAAGAUAUACAAAAAUAGUUUUUAGGUGUCCUAGGCAUGUGGGGCAUAUGAAUACCUGGUUAUGCUAUUCGGGUUCAAGAAUGCUGGUGCAACCUACCAAAGGGCAAUGAAUGCCAUCUUUCAUGAUUUGAUUGGCCAGAACAUGGAGGUGUACAUCGAUGACAUCGUGGUGAAAUCCAAAACAGAAGAGCAACAUCUAACAGACCUCAGGCAAGCUUUAACAAGGAUGAGGAUCCAUAAGCUAAAAAUGAAUCCAAAGAAGUGCGCAUUUAGAGUGAGAGCGGGCAACUUCUUGGGAUUCCUGGUUCAUAAAAAAGAAGUAGAAGUGGACAAGAACAAAUCUCGGGCAAUAAUGAAGUCGCCUUCACCCACCAACAAAGUACAACUUCAGAGGCUGCUAGGCAAAAUUAAUUUCUUGAGGAGAUUCAUUGCCAAUUUAGCGGGCAAGAUCCAACCACUGACUCUUCUGCUGAGACUAAAGGAUAAAGAAACUUUCGAGUGGGGACUACCACACCAAAAGGCUUUUGACAGCAUCAAAGCCUAUUUGACUUCUCCACCAGUGUUGGUACCACCUCAAAGGGGAAAACCCUUAAAGCUAUAUAUCUCUGCUUCAGAAAAAUCAAUCGGGAGUCUACUAGCUUAAAACAAUGAAGGCGGGAAAGAGCAGGCAGUGUACUACCUCAGUAGAAUUUUGACUGAGGUAGAAACAAGAUACUGACCAGUAUUUCACUCAUAUAUCUAGUAAUAUGUUGCAAGACGAUCAACCUUGCCCGACCCUCUUUGUUUUUGUCUUUUCAUUCAUAAAUCUAGUAAUAUGUUGUAUACUGCCAUUUGUAUCCAAGUUAUUUCUAGCAAGUUUAUGAUUAAAAUACUUCUCAGUUCUUGAAUCCGAUGGGGUUAAUAGUGCCCAACCAUGCAAAUGAUAAGUUGGAAUCUACACUCGCAGCUUAAUCAGAUCUAAGUUCUAAUCUCUCGGGCAUACAAGAUUGAUUAUUCAAAAGUCCUUGGUCUCAAGGCAUAAAAAAAAACUUUAUGUGGACUUAACCCAUCCACGACAAUCCUUGAUAACAAGAAGUCUGAAGUUGCUUGAGGCGCAAGUAAUCGACUUAUUUAUUAGUUUUAUCUCUGUUAUAUUCUAAUCAUCAUAGAAUGUUUGAGUAUAGAAUUAAUUCUGAUAGGAAGCCUCAAGGCCUAUACCUAAGGCCCUACAAAGGCACCUAUUUGAGUUCAUUUUGCUCUUCGUGCUCGGGUGAUUAGAAGUAUAAUAGUUAUAAUACUUCUGCAACAAUGAAACAACCAUUAUAUGUUCGAGUACUUGGUUAGUUCUUGAUUGUGAGCCUCAAGGCCUACACUUAAGGCCCCACAAAGGCACCUUUCAUAACUAACACAGUCUCUCGGGCAUAUAUACAAUUAAACUCAACAUCUGUUUUACAUCUGCCAUGCUAAAGAUGGCAGUGGCACGCCUGAGCACCUAAAAGUUAAUUUUGAUUGUGAGCCUCAAGGCCUACACCUAAGGCCCCAUAAAGGCACAUUUCAAAGUUAACUUUGUCAUUCUUUUUCAGCCUUGCCCGACAAGCCUUGCCCUACAGGCCUUGCACGACAAGCCCACCAAUAAGCAGAAGCCUGACAGACAGUAUCAACCGGUGCCAACCUCUCGGGAAGCUGUGCGCUCGUCCGCGAGGAAACGUCCCCAUCGGAAAUUCUAGUGACGAACAAGCCUAUUAAAACCAUUUCCAUCUAGUUUUAAAGUCUCUAAAGAAGGUAGACUCCGAAGGCUUUCAAGAAUGGCAUCAUCCGUUAUAUUGCAGUCACUAAGAUCUAAAUACUGAAGCAUCUUCAGUAGUGCAAAUAAAUGGUAACCCCCAGACACACCCUUACAUCUGUUGAGGCUCAAAUACACGAGAUGUGGGAGUUUUGAAAAGUCUGGUAAUUGAGUCAGGUUACGGGAAUGAUUGAGAUAAAGAAACAUCAACUUCUUCGGCAACUGUUUGGCAAAAAGAGAGAACAAAAAUCAUAAUCCAUAUUAUAGAGAAAGAGAGAUAGGGGGAGAGAGAAAGAGAGAGAAUGACUGUCGACUGGUAUUUAAAAAACACGGACGAGUAAAGGAUUAAUAAUUUGGUUGAGGUUAUGACAAUUAUAUGUAUCGUACCAGGUCGGAAUCCUCCCAAACUCGGACAAGCUUGUUGUAGCCCAAGUCAAUAAAAACUAAGUUUCGUAAAUCAAAAUCUUCGGGUAUGACCUCUAGAGGAAAUCCAUGCCAACACAAAAAUCUUAACUCCUUGGAAAGAUGACGGUAGCUUCCAGUGAGCUUUACAUAGUGGAGUUGGAGAAAUUUCAGAUGCCACAUCUUAUUAAAUGCUUUUGUGCGGAAGGGAUGGUCAUGAGUGUUUUCAGGCAACUCUAAAGUUAGCCCUCUAAUUGCUUCUGUUCCCUGUUAGGGGAAAACAAAAACAAAUCUAAUUCAAGCAAAGCCAUGACUAUCUAUGAAUGAACUACAAAUGCAGCACAUACAAUGCAUUAGAUAGGGGAUAUGCAUAUGCUUCUGUUUAUUUACAUACAUUCAACUUAUACAUUUUUUAUUGGGAUUUGGGAAAGUACUUACAUAUUCGUCUCUAAACACGCUUGUUAUGUCUUCAUGAUGCCACAAUCGACUACGUUUUCCAGGUUCCGUAGCACAUUCUACCCGCACAAUUUCUCUUCCCAUGUCUUGAAUCAAAUCAUGCAUCUUGAAGAAUGAUGAAUCAAAAUCUAGAAGACAUUGAUCUUGAAGAGUUCGGAUUUCUGAUUCUACACAAAAGCGACUACAAUUAUCCAAUAUUGCCACGACUUCAAUUCCAAAUGAGUUAAUAAAGAUAUGAGAUAUGUCAAGGAACACAAGCUUAAUCUAAGUGUUUCAUGAAUUUUUCCAUGUGUAAUGUUUCUCAAUUUAUCCAAUGUCAUUUUCCAUAUGCUUUUACUCUUUUUCAUAGCCAACAAAUGGCCUACGACUUUAAAAGCUAGCGGCAAUCCUCCACAAUAAUCGACAACAUCUGUUGCGAGUUCAAUAUAUUCUUUAUCAGGACAAUGAUUUCCAAACGCAUGCCAACUAAGGAGUUCAAGAGCUUCUUCAUCUGUCAUCGUUUGUGCCUUAUAAAUUUUAUCCACCUUCUGUAUAUUCAACACUUGUUCAUCUCUUGUUCAUCGUUUGUGUCAUCAACUACGAUUAGUACCUUCAUGCUUCCAAGUCUUUUCUCUAUCUCCUUGGUCCUUUCGGCAACACUACUUAUUUUAAUGUCAGGUCGUUUCAAAAUAUCUAGAAGAAAUUGUUCUUGAAGACUAAUCAUAUUUUUCUUUUUACUCCUCACCUCUUCAAGGUAACAUUGACCACGGAAACUAUGAUGGUAUGUGACAUAUGCUGCCCAUACACUGAAUUCCAAUUAUUUGAACGUCCUGUGAACCUCCAACAUCUAAGUAUUUAGUACCGAAUUCUUCCACGCUAAAAGUUAUUCCAACUGAGUGCUUGGCUUCUUUUGAGUUACUGGUUUUUAGUAGUCCGAUGAUGUCCCCAACAACUUUCUGGAUAAAUACUCCUUCACGCCUGCCAAUUGGAAAUCCAAAUUAUGCAAACAGAUGAUUAAUCAUGCAACAACAUGAUUCAUAUGAACUAAAUGCCUUAUGGAUCACGACUUGGCUGAUUAGUGAGUGUCCCAAAAUCUAAUUGUACAAGAUGUUGCAAGCGAUUAAAUUUUGUAAAAGAGGAAAUUUAACAUGAUACCUGUCCGCAGUGGUUUUAAGAUCAUUGCCAACCAAAUCUGUAGAAGCCUUAAGAUCUUUGCUCCACUGCUCGACCUCAUUUGGGUCUUCAUCCCUUUCAUGCUUCUGAAAUGCCUCCCCUCUUGAUCUUCUCGGCACCUCAUGAUCAUCGACAGCUCCCUCAGGCACCAUCGGGACUCCGCGUAACUCUUUGAGAAGACGACAACCGCAAUCUUCGACCCUUCAAUUUCUCAAUCAAGUUUUCUCUGUAUAUUCUCCCCCUUUUUGAGCUCGUAGUCUAUAAACAUGUUGAUUCCAGCACUGCUUAACGCAAUGGAUAGGUGGUUUGUGAACCCAGUGCGUGUGUCCUCGCCUCUAAAGCUCAGGAACACCUUGUACUUCCAGCGGUUUGAACGCCGAGAGGAAGACGAACCGCCGGCGGCUGCGGCGGCGGUUGCAAGGGCGGGGCUGCUGGUAUUCAUUGAUUUCAAGUAAAGAAGUGAAACUCCUGAUCGUUUCAGUCUAAAGAAAACAAGUCUUCCUAUGAUCCUAUCAUUUUCCUUUAUACAUCCAGAUAUCCUAAAAUUCCUCGCGUGGGCGGCAUUUUCUAUCCCUAUAUACGUGCAAAUUGUUAGACCGAGUCAAUCUUAUCCCAAACUAAGCUCUGCAACAAACUCUUCAUAGGAUAAGAUUGCUAAGUUCAGUUUCAGUUUUGAAUAAUUCAAAGAUAAACUGUUGUGAUUUUGUAUUUUUGAAUUCAAAGUUAUCAGUGUAAAUAGGGUAUUCAAAACCCUAUGGCUCCAUUAUGUGUCCUCCUAAGACUUUGGCUGGCACCACUGACGUUAACCCAGCCUACAUGACUUGGAUUCAACAUGAUCAGAUGAUUCUCAGUUGGAUCAACAACUCUCUCACUGCUUCUGUUUUGUCGACAGUAGCAAGCAAACGCAUGUGCCGUGCAAUCUGGGAAGCAUUGGAACAGCGGUAUGCGUCAACUUCCCAGAAUCGUAUAUUGUUUCUGCGUAUAGAACUGCUGCAGACGAAGAAAGGUGACCUCUCUGUAGCUGACUACUUGGAUCGUAUGAAUGCGAUCGCCGACAACCUUGCUCUGGCCGGACAACCAGUAAGCGAUGAUGAACUGGUUCAAAUUAUUUUAAAUAAUCUUGGUCCUGCAUUCGAGAUGACUGUGAAUGCAGCACAAGCUCGUGAUACUCCAAUCACUUAUCCAACACUUGAAGCUCUUCUGCUAACAACGGAGAAACGGAUGACGGAGCAAGCUGUGUUGAUUGAAACUGCUCCGAUCAAUGCUUUUGUAGCGUCACGAGGCCGUGGUGGUCGCUCUCGUGGCAAUGGACGUGGAGGCUCUCCGUUCAAUCGUGGUGGUGCCAUCAACAAUGGCAAUCAACGAGUUGGUAUUCCUCGCAAUAACAACAAUCAACGUGGUGGUGCGUCUGCAAGUACUGGUGACCGGUGCAACCUUUCUGGAGAACGCAUCAAAUGCCAAAUUUGUGGCAAACCUGGUCAUCCGGCUCUGGACUGUUACCAGCGGAUGAAUACAGCUUAUGAAAGACGCAUCCUCACCAAUCGUCUUGCUGCCAUGGCGUCUUCUCAAGUGAUGCCUAAUAAUGGAAAUUGGCUUCUUGACACGGGUGCCAAUGCUCAUGUCACCCCAGACCUUCAGAAUCUUGCAAAUCCAAAAGAAUACACUGGUAAUGACAACAUUGGUGGAGUAGGUAAUGGUUCUCAACUUUCCAUUGCACAUUCUGGUUCGAAUCAAAUUUCAACUAAGUCUUACUCAUUUAACCUCCAUGACAUUUUACAUUGUCUAUCCGCAUCCACUAAUAUCAUUUCGGCACACAGAUUCACCCUAGAUAACCAUUGCUACAUACUAAUAUUUCCUUAUUUCUUCCUUGUUAAGGACCUCAAAACCCGGAAGACGCUUUUCCGCGGGAGAUGUGAGAAUGGAUUAUAUCCAUUUCCUGGUGGCGGUGGAUUGUCCAACUAUCCUAUUUCAGUGUGUGUCGGUGUUAGAGUCUCACCUCAUAAAUGGCAUUUACGUCUUGGUCAUCCUGCUUCGUCAAUUAUUAAAUUUUUGAUUGCAAAUAACCAAGUACCAUCAUCUGGUACAAGUACUGUAACGUUUUGUGACUCUUGUCCAUUAGGCAAAAGCACUAAACUUCCCUUUAGCAAGUCUGUGUCCGUGUCUUAUUGUCCAUUAGAACUUUUGCAUUCUGAUGUUUGGAGUUCACCUAUUAUUUCUAAUGAAGGUUUUCGUUAUUACUUGUUGUUUGUGGAUGACUACUCACGAUAUUCGUGGAUCUUUCACAUGAAAAAUAAAUCUGAAGUGUUUGGAAUUUUUGUGACAUUUAAAACACAUGUUGAAAAAAUGUUUAACAAAUCUAUUAAAGCUCUUCAAUGUGAUGAAGGUGGUGAAUACAUGAGUCGCGAUUUCAAAACUUUUCUUGCUACACAUGGGAUUUCCCAACGUUUUUUCGUGUCCAAACAUCCUGAACAAAAUGGAAUUGCCGAACGAAAGCAUCGUCAUAUAGUUGAAACAAGUGUUACAAUGCUUCUCAUGCUCAUAUGCCUCAAAAAUUUUGGUUCGAUGCAUGUUCCACAGAUGUUUAUAUUAUAAACAGGCUUCCAACAAAGGUUUUAUCUAACGUGUCUCCCUAUGAAAAAUUGUUUCAAAAGAAUCCAAAAUAUAAGGCAUUUAAAGUGUUUGGUUCAAAAUGUUUUCCACUGUUGACUCCUUAUACACGGCAUAAACUUCAACCAAAGUCCAAACCAUGUGUUUUCUUAGGAUAUUCACUGAAUCAUGAAGGAUACAAGUGCUUGGACUUAUCCACGAGAUGCAUUUACGUGUCUCGCCAUGUUUUAUUUGAUGAGGAUUCCUUUCCUUUCAAGGAACUUGCAUCUCCCAAGGACGACGUCACUAUCACAGGUACACCUUUGACCCCUGACUUGAUUUUAACCACAACACCCUCAUCAACCUUGGUACCUUCCAUAUCUUCACCAAAUUUUGUCGAAUCUCACCCUAGCCUCAACCACCAGCCUGAGUCAAACUUGGUGUCUAGUGAUCAGCCGCAUAUCACGCCAACUUUUACUCCCCAGCAAACUGUUUCAAAUUUGGACCUUACUCCUCCUCCACCUAUCACUACCAUCCCUUGUUUAAAUAGGACACCUCAACCUAGUUCAACAUUAGGUCCCACCAAUGAGCAAGACUUGGUUCACAUUCCAUCCGUGCAAAGUUCUCAGAAUCCUUCUCAUUCAUCAAUUUUAUCUACCACAUCAUCUUCCAUACGAGAGACUACUCUCCCCCACUCAAUAACAACAAGGUCAAAAUCUGGGAUUCAAAAGCCAAAUCCAAAAUACGCUUUGCAUGCAAUCGCUGACUCCAAGUUUGUUGAGCCGUCUUAUUUUAGUCAAGUUAUUAAAUAUCCAGAAUGGAGGGCAGCAAUGGCACAAGAGUUCAGUGCUUUGCAAAUGUGUGGAACAUGGACGCUUGUUCCUUAUUGUCCUGGAAUGAACCUGCUGCCAAACAAAUGGGUGUUUAAAAUCAAGAGACGUACAGAUGGUUCUCUCGAACGUCACAAGGCUCGACUUGUGGCUAAUAGUUACCAUCAGCAAUCCGGAGUGGAUUAUAAUGAAACAUUUAGUCCAGUCGUGAAACACAGCACCAUUCGGCUUGUUUUAAGUCUUGCAGUGUCGAAGAAGUGGACGGUGCGACAGUUAGAUGUACAGAAUGCAUUCUUGCAUGGCUAUUUGGAUGAGGAUGUGUACAUGAAACAGCCGCCAGGUUUUCUUGAUCAGCAGUAUCCUAAUUAUGUGUGUAAAUUGCAGAUAAGUUUGUAUGGAUUAAAACAGGCUCCCAGAGCCUGGUUUCGAAGAUUCUCGGAUUAUCUGCUUCAACUUGGGUUUGAAGAAUCAUUAUGUGAUUAUUCAUUGUUCGUGUUUAAUCAACGAGGCGUUUACUUGAUCUUACUUAUCUAUGUGGAUGACAUUCUUCUUACAAGCAAUAAUGAUAAACAAAUGCAAUGGUUGAUAGAGAAGCUCGACACUUUGUUUUCUAUGAAGGACUUAGGUCCUUUAAGUUAUUUUUUGGGUGUCGAGGUUACUUAUUCUGGGGAGAAUAUGCAUCUUACACAGUCCAAGUAUGCGUUGGAUCUGUUGGAGCGCACCAAGUUUACUGCUGUCAAACCAGUAUCCACUCUUGUACCUACGGGACAAAAGCUCAGUCAGUAUACUAGUGAACCUUAUUCUAAUCCCGAAUAAUAUCGAACGAUUGUUGGAGCGUUACAAUACUUGACGAUCACCAGACCCGAUCUUUCUUAUGCUGUGAACCAGGUUUGCCAGUUCAUGCAUAUGCCUCGGACUACACAUUGGAUGGCGGUUAAGAGGAUUUUGCGGUAUUUAAAGGCCACACAUGAUCACGGUCUUGUCUACAAACCUGGUGAUAUUCGGUUAAAUGCUUUCUCUGAUGCUGAUUAUGCGGGAAAUCCGGACACACGUCAUUCAACUGGUGGCUUCUGUAUCUAUUUGGGCACGAAUUUGAUUUCCUGGAGUUCAAAGAAACAGAAGACUGUCUCAAGAUCUAGCACAUAGGCUGAGUAUAGGCAGCUUGCUUAUACUGCCGCUGAGUUGUCAUGGUUAGGAAGUUUGUUUCGAGAUCUCCAUCUCUAUCUUCCAUGGCCGCAGAUAUGGUGUGAUAAUGUUUCGUCCAUUGCUUUGGCUUCCAAUCCAGUUUUCCAUGCACGGACGAAACACUUGGAAGUGGACUACCAUUAUGUACGCGAAAAUGUGGUCCGUGGACAGCUUUUGGUUCAUUUUAUUUGCUCCCAAGACCAGAUUGCCGAUUUGUUCACCAAGGGUCUUUCCUCUUCACGCUUCAACUUGUUAGUUUCCAAGCUUCCCGUCGUUGCUCGACCUGUCAGCUUGCGGGGGGAUGUUAGACCGAGUCAAUCUUAUCCCAAACUAAGCUCUGCAACAAACUCUUCAUAGGAUAAGAUUGCUAGGUCCGGUUUCAGUUUUGAAUAAUUCAAAGAUAAGCUGUUGUGAUUUUGUAUUUUUGAAUUCAAAGUUAUCCGUGUAAAUAGGGUAUUCAAAACCCUACUUGUAAUCUGAAAGUAUUGUAUAAAUACACUGCGACCCAUCGUUAUAUGGGUGUGCAAUCAAAAGCUGAAAACCCUAGUGCUCUAAGUUUUACACAAAUAUCCCCUCGAUUCCCAAAUGUAGGCGGCAGUUUCUAUCCCUACAUACGUGCAGAAAUCCCCAAGAUUCUCCAAUGCAGGCGACAUUUUCUAUCCCUAUACGUACAGAUAUCUCCAAAAUUCCUCAAUGUAGCGGCAUUUUUAAAGUUUUUGCAUUGGUCAAUGAUGUCAAUAACGCGUGAGUGCUAUUCUUCCCACAGUUUAAUUUGUCAAAGCCAUACAAAAUAUAAAAUAAAAACCCUGAUGAGAAAUUUUUCGUUGUAACCGGAACACGGGAGGUAUACUACGUGUUUUUAUAUAAGUUGAGGAAAAUUUUAUUUUUUAAGUUAUUAACUUUUUAACACAUAUAUCCCACCAUUUAUAUAGUAACACGUGAUGUACCACCUCGUGUACCGGUUUCUCCUCUCUUUCCCGUCCCUCCCAUCUCUCUUUCGUAUUCUCAAUCUCUAUCUUCUGAUGGAGGUAAUCACAUACAAACUCAUUAUAUUUUACUUGAGUAAAUAUGAAUUAAUUUUUUUAAUUUGGUACGUAAAUUUAGGUUUUCGAGUAGAAUAAUGUUAAGGAGAUCAAAAUUUCAAAUUAAAUUAUCUAUCAUCAAUAUAUAAUAAGCACGUUAAUCAACAUUUAAGUAAUAAUUCAAUCAUCAACAACCACAUUAUUUGGUUCACAAAAUUAUAUUUAAAAUUUUGGUCUUCCUAACAUUAUCCUUUCGAGUGAACAUCAAUUCAAUGAGUAUUUUUCUUCUUUACUAUUCUUAUAUAGUUUGGGCCGCUAAAAUAUUACAUUAUUGUGAUUAACUAGCGAAAAAUACAAGUUAAAAAUGAAUGUGCAACACAUUGAAACACAGGAGCUCAAGGGCCUAUUUCCAAUGACAUGCUCAGGCCACCGAAUUUUAUGGGCUGGCCCUGGUUCAAUCGUUGUUGGUCGACGUCAUAAUGGCAUUAUAAGAAUCUGCGGUACAAAAUAGGUUCCAACUGUCGAUGUCAGUUUAGAGAGUUUCACCAUUCUCAUCUCAUCUUAACUUUUCAAAAUCUUUUUUGAAAUGUCAUUAAUUUUCCAAAAUUCUUAAUUUGUCAUCUCAUCUUAUCUUCGUUCAGUUUUUCACCCAAAUAAGUUGGAUUCAAGGUUAUUUUUACUUCGCAAAAUCCUUAUUAGUCAUCUCAUCUUAAAGAGUGCAAAUAAAUGGAUGAUGCAAAUCUUAAAAAUCUUAGGGCUCUAUCUUUCUAACUAUUUUAGUUCUAGAUGUGGUUUCUUGGAGCUCCAUGAUUGCGUGUUACACUCAUAAUGGGGAUGUAAUAGAAGCGUUAAAUCUUUUAAACGAAAUGAUUGACACAAGAUUCGAACCUAAUUCAAUGACUCUGGUAACUGCAUUCCAAGCAUAUGCACUGGCAGGUAAUUUAGAAAAAGGUAAGAGGAUCUACGAAAUUGCUACUAGGAAGUGUUUCGAGUUAGAUAUCACGGUAGCUACAGCCCUGAUUGAUAUGUACAUGAAGUGCUCUGCACCCGAAAAAGCAGGUGAUCUCUUCAAUAGAAUGGCAGAGAAAGAUGUGGUUUCGUGGGCUGCCUUGUUGAGCGGGUAUGCUCAUAACGGAAUGGCAUACAAGUCAAUUAGGGUCUUUCGCGACAUGCUAUCAGACACAACUCAGCCUGAUGCCGUUGCUAUGGUCAAGCUUCUUGCAGCUUGUUCGGAAUUAGGGAUUCUUCAACAAGCUCUCUGCCUCCAUGCUUAUGUGAUUAAACGCGCCUUCAAGAAUAACAUCUUUGUUGGAGCUUCACUCAUAGAGUAAUAUUCGAAGGGUGGAAGCAUAGACAAUGCUGUCCAAUUAUUUGAAGGCAUAACAGACAAAGAUGUCGUUAUCUGGAGCGCGAUGAUUGCAGGUUAUGGAGUUGAUGGACAAGGAGAAGAAGCUUUAAAAGUAUUUGAUCGGAUGGUUAAGCACUCAGAUGUCAAGCCUAAUGAUGUAACAUUUCUCUCGAUUUUAUCUGCGUGUAGCCAUUUGGGUUUGGUUAGAGAAGGCAUCGAGAUCUUCAACACGAUGUUGCACGAAUACCAACUUAAGCCCGGACCUGAGCACUACGGGAAUUGUUGAUCUUCUAGGCCGGACAGGAGAGCUGGACAAUGGAAUGGAAAUCGUUGAGAGAAUGCCAAAUCCAGCUGCAGCGCAUGUUUGGGGAGCCUUGCUUGGUGCGUUCUGGAUACAUAAGAGGUUGCAGCAGAGAGUCAUUUUCGGUUGGAUCCUAAUUAUGCAGGGUAUUACAUCCUGCUCUCGAAUGUAUAUGCCAUGGAUAACAAAUGGGAAAAUGUGACAAAUCUUAGAACUUUGAUAAAGGGGAAGGCGUUAAUGAAGAUGUCCGGGCAGAGCGUUUUCGAGGUGGAGAGUGACAUCCGUAGUUUUGUUGCCGGAGAUGGAUUGCACCUUGAUUCUGAUCAGAUUUAUGUAGUGCUAGGAAAAUUAGAUACGAAAAUGAGAGCGGAAGGUUAUGUUCCCAAUGUCGAUCUUCUGCUAACAUGACAUGGCGGUUGGUAUCUAGAUUUGAAGUGUUGUGAAAUUUCUUGUAGGGAAAGUUUCGACCCACAUGAAAGGCGUAAUGAUAUGGACGCAAUCACGGAAAAUAAUAUAAUCCGGUUAUAUUUUAAAUAAGCAAAUAUAUUUUAGAAAUGUUAUCAAUAACAUAACCCACUGCAAAACCAAACUGUAGCACACAAUUCAUCACUGCUGUGACAACUAAGACAUUCCAAAUCACACAAGUUUACAUACAUUAGAAUAAAAUCCACAGUUAAUCACUGUUAAAUAUCAUUACAAAUAAGUUAAUUUUAGUUGGAUGCAGCCAUCCAACAACCAUGAUCCUUCAGCGCCCAAUGUCGGAUUUUCAAAAGCGACGAAACUCCAGACAGUCUCCUUUUUGGCCAUGCUGCUGCUGCUACUACUACUGUUACCACUUGGAAGUUGGAUGCUCAGAGUUUAUUUUCCCGUGAAUGGUGCGACUCUUGCCGGAGCAUUCUCGAGGCCAGUCACCACAUAAACUUCAAUCUGAAAUCACAAUCGUCACAAAUUUGAAGUUUAACUCCACUACCAUUCUCUCAACACCAAUUCGAUAUAAAUUAAACAAGAAUUGCCCCAAUCGAAAAUUGCAAUGCCGUACCCACCCAAAAGAAAAAAAAAAAAAAAAAACAACUCAAAAGAUCGUAGGAAUCGACGAAAUUAAAAAAAUAUAUACAUUCAAAUUCCUAUUACAAUAUGAAAAAGAUGGCAAAAACACACGUCAGGGUUAAAGGGAUCAAUGCAAGAAAACCAACCUUUUCUAGAGAUCGCGUUGGGAUUUGGUAGAGCCGUCCUCAAUUGGGCUUACGGAGGAAGAGCCUAAGACCUUGAAAAGAAGGAGUAGCAUGUCGAUCCAGCCGUGGAUUAGCACGUGACCGGAAACGUGGAUCCAGCCGUGGAGCAAGUCGAUGUGGAGCGGAGUGCGGUUGUCGUAGUCGGCGUGGAGGCCUGACUCAAAACCGUGGGCAUUGUCUGGAGAAAGACAUUGCCUUCGUGCUCAGGGUCUUGGAUGAGAGGAUUGGGAGGAGGAUUCUCUAUCCUCUUAACUCUUAUGCAAAAACAGCCACGUAAGCAUAUAAUAGUAAAAAAUGACAGUAAAUUCUUUUCAACCGAGCUUUCAAUUUCCUACGUGACGCUGAGUCAAUUGAAAACAAAGUAUUUUGCUGUCAAAUUUGACUGCAGAUGUCAAAUUUAUUAAAUAGUUUUUCAAUAGAUUAAUAUAAUAUAUAAUAAAUGUUAUUGUGUUUUUCAAGUUUUUGAUUGGUUGUCUCAAUCACUAAACCCCACAAAAGAUUAAAAACUUUAAUAAAUAACAUUAUUAUUUGACAUAUCGGGGUGAAGCAAAAUAUUUCAUAAAAUGUCAAAUUGCCAUGUAAGCUACUAAAUAUCAUUUUGAUGUUUAAAAUUUGACACCUUAUUUGGAGAUGCUUUUAAUCUCUCUACCCUUACAUGCUCUCUUAUUUGAAUGAUUACGGUUAAAUCACGUCAACAUUUUAUAUUAAUUUUUUUAUAGAGAUAAUAAGAUAAAAAGGGAUGGAAUGGAGUGAGAAUAUGAUGGUAGAGAAUCAUCUUUUGAUUGGGAGAAAAAUUUUCUACCGUUCUAAUCUCUCUACCCUCUUGAUGCCUUGAAUUCAUUGGAUUGAAGUGCAAGACUUUAAGGCCCUGUGUUGGCAUAUCGGAUAAGGUACCGGAUAGUACUAUUAAUACGGAGUACGGUGUUUGGUGUCCGUUUGAAUUAAAUAACCACCAGAUUAAAUAAUCCGACCCCACCUCCUUUAUCCGGCUGAUACCCGCUUAGUUAUACCGCCCAAAACCUCGGUAUCAUUUAGUCAGGUAGAAACACGCCUCUCUCACUCUCUCCAUCCCGCAUUGCUUGCCCUCUAAUAUGAAUCUCAGGUUCUUCUCCUCCUCCUCCUCCUCCUUUGUUCCGCCCUCCUGCAACUUCUCCUCCUCCUCCUUCUCUAAUCACCGCGAACGGCGUAAGAGGACAAUCGCGAUGGACUGACGAAACUCGAAUGGGAGAAGCAUAGUGCUUCAAAUUACAGAGAGUUCCUCUCGCCGCUCGCUCUACUCCUCUCACAUCGCAUGCUUUCUCCUCUGAAUCCAAGGUUCUUCCUCCACUUCUGAAUCUGAGAUUCUUCUUCCUCCUCCCUGUUCCGCCCUCCUCCUAUUUUUCUUGCAAUUUUUCUUCUUCUCUCUGUUCUGCCCUCUUAUUUUUCUUCCAACUUUUUUUUUCCAAUCAAAUUGAAUCAGAUUGUUGUUUUUCUCUCAAAUUUUUGCAAUUGAUUUUAUAAAUUUUCAAUUGCCAAAGAACCCAUCUACCUCCUUUGGGUCAUAUCCUUCAUAACCAUUCUACUUUUGCUAGGCUGAUUUGUAGCUAAAAAAAAGAGAGGAUUGGGAAAACUAAAAAAAAAAAGAGGAUUGGGAAAAAAAAACGAUGAGAAUUUGAAAGGAGGGUUUUGCUAGGUUUCUUGUUGCUGCCUUUGUGGUGGGGUUUAGUUCAGGGUAGCAGACGGGGAAGAAGAAGAAGGGAUAGAGAGGGAGGGAGUUUGGAGGGGUGCGGCGGAGAGAUCUGGGAACAAAAGAGAUGAUUUCAGUUUUUUUUUUUUUUUAUAAUUUUGUUUUAAGUUUGAUACUUCAUAUCUGGAAUAAUACCAAACAUAGUAUAAAUAAUAUGAUCAUUAGUCUGAUACUGUACCAAACGACCGAUUAAUUUAGUCAGUACUAUCCGGUGACUAUUUAUCAUAUUCGACAAAAAUAGUCAGUACAAUCCGAGCUGUCAAACGAGGCCUAAGAAUAUAAGAGUUUGAUCAGCUAUUCAGAUUUAAUCCAAUAACUUAUAUUGAUCUGCACGGAAGGCCCACAAAAUGCAAUCCGCACUUUAGAAAUGACGUUUAGCCUACCGUAUUUGGGCUUUCUCUUAUGUAACUAUGUUUAUGUGAAAACAAAGUAACCUUUUUAACCAAAAGAAAAGAAACAAAAAAGAAACAAAAAGAAAAAGUGCUGACUAGGCCAUGGGGAAGUAUUCAAUGCCAGAAGAAAGUGGGGAAUGGGAAAGCACAAGCAUUCAUUGCCAAGCUGUAGCCGGACAAUGUCAGAAUAAAUAAAUCAAUAAAUAACUAGUUUCCACUAAAGUGGACGUGGAAAGGCAUCUUGAUUUUUCAAAAAUUAACAAAAAAAAAAUAGCACUGAACACUUGCCCACGUGACAAGGUAUUCCAACCGAGUGGUUGACUGGUUUGUAGUCUCUGGAUUGUGUUAGUCCGAUUAUGCCCCCAAAUUGAAAGUUCAAAAUUUUUCUUAUCUAUUUAAGUGACCCGCUUCCCGAACUCGAAUCAUCUCUUGACAACUGGCCCUUAAAUAUGUAUCCUACUAUUAUAAUUAAUUUUAAUCUUUUUAAUGGAUUUCUCUUCUCUCUCCUUCCGUCUUUUCUUUCCCUUUCACUCCAUCUUCACUCCAUUAGUGGCUGCUCUCUCACAGAUGAAAAAUUGAAGCAAUAGAAGUAUCUGAAUGAUUAUACCAAGGCAACAUUUGUCCCGGAGAGCGAGAUGGGUGGAAGGCAGAAAAUUAAAGGAGAACUAAUAAAAAUGACUUGAAAGCUUUAAGUUUUAAUGAUAGGAACAAAAUAAAAGGGAAAGUAAAUAGUACUAUGAUUGACUUUUUAGUAUAAAAAUGUGGUUUUUCGUUAAAAUAAACCGUACCGGAAAUUUUUCGUUAAAGUUUUCAAAAAUUAAUUCCAAUUUUUUGCUCAAAACCAAGCCAUUAUGUUGUUGGUCUCAACCAUAAAUCAAAUAACUCAACAAAUUAGACGUCCCAAGACCCAAUCUUUAUCCCUGACCUUCAUCCCAAAACCUUGACUUCUUUAAUAAUUUAAAAAAUGAAAUUUCCCACCACAUCUAUUAAAACACGCGAUGUACAACUUGUGUUUCCGUCGCAAUUAAAAAUUUCUCAUGAUGGUGGAGUGCUUGUGUCGAUUAUAACCGACAACAAUGUUCUGUCAUCCGCCACUAUUUAAACACUGCAAAUAUUUUAUCCGACAUUAAUCAUUUAAAACCGCCACAACCUUCUGACACAUUAAAGCCAAUUUUGUAGUAGUGUUAGGCCAUCUCCAACCGAUGGCUGGCCAGAGGGCUCGUUUGAGCCCUAUGACCCUCCAAGAUUCUCCAAGAUAUUAAUAUUUUAAUGAACAAUACAUGGCCAUAUUUGCCUUCGUCUCCAACCGAGGGCCAAAGGGCCAGAUGACUCGUUUUAGCCCUCUCGCAAAAAACCAUCUACAACCGAGGGCCAAACAUAAUUUAUUAUUUAAAAACUACAACUUAAAUUCAAGUUAACUAUUUAAAAAUAGAAGUUAUAGGAAAAAAAAAAGAAUUAAAACAAAAUAUGAAACAAAUUUUGUGAAAUAGAAGUUAUAAGAAAAAAAAUAGAAUUAAAAAAAAUAUGAAAAAUAGAAGUUAUAAGAAAAAUUUGUAAAUAAAAAAUAAUAAUAAAACUGUGUAAAAAAAAAUCAAAUGCAAGCUAGCCGUUGUAUUCAAAUUUUUUGAAAUAAAUUUGUGUCGGUUAUAACCGACACAAAUAGUAGUACAAAUUACUAUUAGUGUCGGUUAUAAACGACACUAAUUGUAAACAAUAAAGCAUAGCGGGACCAAUUAUGUCGGUUAUAACCGAAUAAUUACAAAAGACUAAAUAAUUACUGUCGGUUAUAACCGACAGUAAUUCCGACGCAUUUAAAAAAAAGAGUCAGCCAGCCAGCCCUUUGGCCCUUUAGGAUUCUGUGGGACCCUCUCAGAUUCCAAAGCCCUCUGGCCUGGCCCUCGGUUGGAGACGGUUUUAGGACUAUUUUCGGUCCUCUGGCCCUCUGGACCCUUCAGUUGGAGAUGACCUUAGGCUCUUAUUUUGGAGUAUGUAAUACUUGAAAGACAAAUGUUUUUUUAAGGUUUUGAAAUAAUAUUUAUGUGACAAUGUGGUAUACAUAUACUAAUUUAGUAUUAUGUUUUCUAUUUUUUUUGGUCAAAUUAUGCUUUUCAUCUUCAUUAUUUAGGGAUUUAAAAUAUAUUUUCUUUAACGGAUAAUGGAUCGAGUCAUAUUAAAUGAUAAUAUUAACGGAUCAAUUUCGGGUCGGAUCAUAUUAUCGGUUUACUUUAACGGAUGUUACAUGACACGAUUCAUUAAGAUAUUAGGUAUAUCAUAAAAUCGAUACGAACGCAAAAAAUACGACACGAAUAUCAAAUCUAGCUUUUAGCAUACUCUCCCCGUACCUUUCUCAUGUUUUUACACCCAAAAAGUAAAUGAUUAAAGAGAAUAAUUUUUACAUGCCUUCUCUUUUUACUUCUUUUGUUUCUUUUUUCAAAAAAACACAAAAAAGGUCGAAUUAUGCCAAAACUGGUAGGACACUGCCCGACCAUAUGGCUUUUGAGCGCAUUAGAGCAACUCCACCCAUGUGGAUUGCUCGGGGGAUAGGGGAGAAGAAAGGGCCUGAGGCCCGGUCGACAGUGCUCCAGCCAUGGAGAGCCCGAGUGAAGGUGGGAGCCCGAGCACAAGGCCCGUCAGGAAUCCACCAGCCUGCAGCCCGAGGGCCAGACAUUAUUUAAUUUUUUUUGUGUCAGCCCGAGGGCCUGCAGCCCCAUUUCCAAUGUUUUUAUUUUAUUUUAUAUUAUUUAAACAAACAAAAAAAACUAAUAUUUUAUUACAUAUUGCCAGGGGGAGGGCUCCAAGGGUGGAGAUGCAAAAGGUAAUUACUGUUCAUUAAUGGUAGUUACUAUUCAUUAAAGGCAGUUACUGUUCAAUAUGGUGGAUUCAAUAGUGAAUUGCCAGGGGGAAGGGCUCAAAGGGUGGAGUUGCUCUUAUGUUAGAUGACUUUGGAAUGGCUAACUGGAUUGGCUGCUGACUUUCUUGAUUGCUCCAUAGUAGUUUGGUUUAGAUUUUUGUUUAAAAAUACCAAAAUUAAAGUUUAAUGGUUAAAAUAUCAUGAGUACUGGAUACUUCGGACGAAUCUGACCACCAAAGAAUUUUUGGUUUGGCUGUUUUAUUAUUCUCUCUCAACAUUUUAUAACAAAAAAAAAAUUGGUUUGGCUGUUUUGUUGUUCUCACUCAACAUUUUACAACAAAAUGAGGGGAACACCCUCCCUCCUCCACUGAUUUUUUUUUUUUUUUGAGAAAUGGAGAAUAUCAUUAACGAGGGCCAAAGCCAAAAGGAGGAACAGAAAGCCACACAGGCUAACAACAUCUGAAAAGAGCAACACAUAAAGGGUAAGAACACGACACGGAGCCAACAUAUGUCACCCUUACAACUACAAACUAAACUACAAAUUGGACGGAGGGCAAGGAAGACCAUCUUUGUUCAAGAUACGAACAAACGAAGAUGGGGGUCUACGGACCUAAACGAAAUCGCACAUCUCUGUCCCAAUAAUCCACCGCUUCGUUAGCUGAUCUUGGCACCUAAGGACAAUCACAUGAAUAAAAAGUUUCACCUUUGUACCGUAUCUUACAAAGAACAUGGAAUAGCUCCCACGCCAUUUGCUCAAUACACCAGUUCAACCAAUCAAUGAUCCCUUUUGAGUCCGACUCAAUCACAAUACGGGAGAAUCCCCGCUGCCUUGCCAUGCAACAACCCUGCAGCACUCCCUAUGCUUCUGCCAUUUGGGCAUUCAUAGCUCUGAUACGCCUCCUUCUAACUGCCAAGCACCAAGAUUCAGAAUCACGAAUCACCACCCCAAUAUGGCAGAAGCCAACCAUCAGCUUCCCGCUAGCAUCCACAUUUACCUUCGUGAUCCCAGGAGGAUGAGGAGGUUCCCAACCACUAACGAUAACCCUCUUAGAGCCUCGUUGUACUCGAUCAUCAGAAUGCGCCUCACAGUAACCAGUGUGAGCAGACUCGAUAGCUUUAACAGUACUGGUUGGGGAUGAGAAGUGAGACCUUGCAUCUAACCUUCCAUAUUUCUCAGCAUGCGAAGGUUAUGUACGACAUAGUUUCCCUUCUAACCUCCCCACCCUAGGUAGAUUUUGCCAAAUUGAAACCACCCAUGAAUGGAAGGAGGUUACCCUACUUUUAUCCACCCUUAAUCCCAAUGGGCCACCAAACCACACCUGAUCCACCCACAGACAUAAAAUAAAUGCAUGCUCGAUCAUCUCCUCAUGUUCACCACAAAAAGGGACAAGGGUGAAGACACACAUCGUCGUCUAAAUAAAUCUCGUUUAGUAGUUGUCGCCCCCCUUAGUGUAUGCCACAUAAAGUCCUUUAUUUUGUGAGAGAUCCAUAAGUUCCAUAUGCACUUCCACACCCAAAAGUCGACCGACGAUGAUGUAGAAGAUGUUAGUUGCUGACUUGACAAUUCACUGUGUGGAUCCAAUGGUAUCCAGAUUUGACGGUAUAAUGUCCCAUUCUGUCUGUUAGCCAAACUAGCAUAUCCUUGCAGUUAGCCCCGCCUAUUGGCGUAUCAAGGAUGGCAUGAUGAUCUUCAGCCGAGACCUUCCUAUCUAUAAUAGCCUGAUGCCAAGACCUAGUAGACUGAUCAAUCAAAUUCGAGACUCUUAGGUCAGGGUUCAUCAAAACCCCCUGAGCAGGGGUAAGGUGCCCCGACUGCAAAGUUGGGAUCCACCAAUUGGCCCACACCCGUGUGUUCUCACUAUUCAAAAUCUGCCAAUGCACACCCUGAGAGAUAAUGUCCCUUCUCAUCAACAGGCUAGCCCAAGGCCAGGAAGAUCGACCCCAUUUUUAAGCCUAAAAAAUAGGAGCAAUCCGUGAAGUAGCUCUGCUUGAUAACCAGGGCCCAAAGAGAGUCUAGGGAAUGGAUCAGACGCCAACAUUGCUUGGCCAAAAACACCAUGUUAAACUUCUUAAGGUUACAGAAGCCCAUGCCGCCCUCAUGCUUCGACAGACCCAAGUUUUCACAACUCACCCAAUGUAUCUUUUGUUCCCCCUCUCUUUGACCCCACCAUAAUUUGGCCAUUGCCACAUCAAUAUCAUUACAAAUAUUGUCCGGGAAACAGAAUAUGUUCAUUGGGUAAGCAGGAAUUGCCUGAGUCACUACUUUUAUCAAAACUUCCAUACCGGCUUGGAUAAGAAACCCUGCUUCCACCCUUGAAUCUUUGCUAAAACCUUGUCUUUUACAAAAGCUAGUGCCUCCCGCUUCGUUCUUCCACACACUGUUGGGAUUCCCAAAUAGUUUCCUGGAUCCUGAACCUGCAGCAUACCCAGGAUGCUCACCAAUUCGUUCGGGAGUUCUCCCGGGGUGUUGGCACCAAAGAAAACAGAUGAUUUUUGCAUGCUAACUUCUUGACCUGAGGUAGUGCAAUAGGGCUUUAAGAGGUGGGUUAUGUUCUGACAGUUGGGCCGUGUUGCACGGAGGAAUAUAAGCGUAUCUUUUGCAAACAAUAGAUGGGAUAGACACGACCCGUUCAUACUUAACUGAAUACCUUCAAUAAAACCACCAUCCACCGCACCAUUAAUUAGCCUCGAGAGCACGUCUGUAAAGAUGAGGAAGAGAUAUGGAGAUAGGGGUUGCCCUGCCGGAGCCCCCGCGACGGCUUGAACUUUCUCCUUGGUUAUCCAUUCACUAGGACCGAGAAAUCCACAGUGGAUGCAUAUCCCAUUACCAACCUUAUCCACAUCCCACCAAAACCCAUUCGGAUCAUGACUGCCUUCAAGAAAUCCCAUUCAAUCCUAUCAUAUGCCUUAUUCAUAUCAAUCUUCAUAGCUAGCUCAAAUUUAGUUUUCACUUUCCAAAGCUUGAGAAAAUGGAACACCUCAUGGGCCAUUAAAAUAUCGUCCUGGAUCUGCUGGCCCUCCAUAAACGCGUUCUGGGUCGGGGAUAUGAUUCUAGGUAACCAAUGCUUUAAUCUAUUGGCCAGCAGUUUAGAGAAGAUUUUAUAAGAGUAAUUACAUAUCGGCCUAAAUUGACUCACCGAGGAUGGGUUUGCAACUUUUGGAAUAAGGACAAUGUGAGUGGAGUUAACUUCCUCAUGAUCUCCCUUCCGGUGGCAAAAUCCUCCACCAACCCAUUCACCUUUUCCCUAAUAAUAUCUCAAAAGGAUUGAUAGAAGACCCCCUAGAAUCCAUCUGGGUCAGGCGCCUUCAAACCACCAAUUUGGAAAACCGCCUCCUUUAUCUCUGUCAAAGAAAAUGACUCACAAAGCUUAUCAUUCAUUUCCUCUGAGACCGAUGAAUGAAUAUAGUCAAAGACUUGACCCCACUCCCUCAUGCCCCCCCCCCCCCGACGUAAAAAGACCAGUGAAAUGGUCGUUUAUCACCCGUUUGAUUCCUUCGCUAUCUUCCUGCCACACCCCCCUCCCAUCUUGCAGCUUUGCAAUUCUAUUAAAAUGUCUUCGCUGAAUUGUGGUUUGGUGGAAAAAAAACGAGAGUUUGAAUCUCCUUCUUUGAGCCAUUUUAUACGGGAUCGUUGCCUCCAGAAUAAUUCAUCCCAUUCAUCUAGCUUUUCAAUAUUGGCAACAAUGGCUCUAAUCUCCUCCUCGUUUUCCUCCCACUGACCUUGAAGAUGUCCACUGAUUUUUCUUUAGUACCUGCAUGCAUCACCUUCAAUUACAAAGAAAGUAGGUAAAAUUCUUCUAUACUGAUUUUUCUAGACUACAUACAGGCACUGAGUGCCGAUCCAACAGUUCUCGAUUGGUAAAAUACGUGUUGGCACUAAGCGCCUCUAGAUGCUAAAAAUAAAAAAUAAAAAAAUUGCUCAUCCACUGCAUUAGCACAAAAUUUUGGGAUCAAAAUUUUAUUUUGCUUUGCUAUUUUCUUUUUAACAAACGAUAUUAUCUACACUAAACUAAGGGAAAGUGAGGUAGGCUAAGCCUUAUAAUAGGCUGCAAUAAUGUGGUUCAAAUUCAACUUUUGCGAGAAUUAAAUCUAAGACUUCUUACUUACAAAUGAAGAGGAAUAUCACUAGAAUGUAUACUAAGAGCAACUCCACCCUUGGUGGUUGCUCGGGGGACAGGCGAAGGGAAAAGGCCCGAGGGCCGGUGGAUAGGCCUCCAGCCUUGGGCAGCCCGAGUCAAGGUGGGAGCUCGAGGGUUAGGCCUGUGGAGAAUUGACAGCCCGACAGCCCGAGUUGUGUGUGGGGUCAGCCUGACGCCAGGCCUGGCGUCGGUGGUUUUUUUAUUUUUUUUGUGUCAGGCGCGUGCCCCUCACUCGCGAGUGGGGGCGCGUCAGCCUACAAGUUUACAGGGCAUAGGGCCCGCGCCCCAGGAAAUGCAGGUGACUGUUGGGAAGCCACGUGGCUUCCCACGGUCCGUUCAAUCCCAACAGCUCUUUAAUACGAGCCGUUCGAUUUCCAACGGUAAUAAAAAAAAAGCUGAUUUAAUAUCAACCAUUCGAUCUGAGAUCAACGGUUGAUGUUAAUCUGCUUUAUAAAUUUAAAAAAGAAAAAAGAAAAAAUAGUUUUAAAAUUAAAAAAAGUUACCGUUGUGACACGUGGCGUAAUCUGGAGUGUUGGAAUUCAAUUUUUUUAAAUCCAACGACAGAGUUUAAUUAUUUGAAUAAAAAAAAUUUAAAAAUUGUAAAAAAUCUGAAAAAAUAUCUGAAAAUUUAAAAAAAAAAAAUUACAUAAGAGAAUCUUUAUUCAAAUGACAUAAACACACCAAAUAAAAAACUCACGAAAUGAACACCAAAUAAAACAUACCAAAUAAAAUUACAUAAACACCAAAUAAUAAAAACCUCACUAAAUGAACCAAAAUAAAACACACCAAAUAAAAUUACAUAAACAUACCAAAUAAUAAAAAACACACUAAAUGAACUUUAUUAUCUUCAGCUUGUUUCAAUGCCCACUGGUACUCUAUCAAGUCAUUUUGCCUGGCAUUGUGCAUGUCUGGCCUUUGAAAUGCAGUAUAUCGUUGAAUGACCCUUUCAUUGUAACGUUCAUCCCUUUCUAAUGGCUCAUGUUGCACGGGCUCAUCGGUGGCAUCAUGAGCACAAUAUAUAUGUGUUCUUGAAUUGUUCAUCGUGUCUGGCUCAUAUUCAUCAACAGCUUCAUAAUCGUACUCAUCUUCCACAAUCAUGUUGUGAAGAAUGAUGCAUGUCAUCAUGAUGGAUCGAAGCGACUCUACAUCAAACAAUCUGGCAGCAUCCCUGACGAUCGCCCAGCGAGCUUGAAGGAUACCGAAACAACGCUCCACAUCCUUCUUGUAUCCCUCUUGACACCUUGCAAAGUGUUUUUCCUUUGCACUUCGCGGACGUGGCGCUGUUUUGACAAAUGUUGACCACCUUGGGUAAAUGCCGUUAGCUAGGUAGUAUGACCCGUUGUACAUACGUCCGUUGACCUCAUACGUGACUUUUGGUGCCUUUCCGUGCAGGACAUCAUUGAACACUGGGGAUUGGGUAAGAACGUUGAGGUCAUUUUGAGCUCCCGGAACCCCGAAAAAUGAUUGUCAAAUCCAUGUAUCAAAAGAUGUCACCGCCUCCAAAAUGAUAAUUUUUGCUCAUUUUCUAUCUCCAUAAGCGCCUUGCCAUGUACUUGGACAUUUUUUCCACAUCCAAUGCAUACAAUCAAUGCUCCCAAUCAUUCCAGGAAAACCUCGCAUCUCGGCAUUCUUCAGAAGCCUUUCCAAGUCCAUGUGAGUAGGUUUUCGGAGGUACUCUACGGUGUAGAUAGAUUCGAUUGCUCCGCAAAACCUCAUCAGGGACUCAAGAAUGGUUGAUUUCCUCAUCUUCGUUAUCUCAUCCAUUUGGUCUACAGAUGCUCCAUACGCAAUGCUCCAUACGCAAGCAUCCGCAGCGCAACAGUAAUUUUUUGCUCGGGAAGGAGACCCAUAGCACCACAUGCAUUCUUCUUUUGCUGAAAGUAAGAAUCAUGGUUGCAAACCGCAAUCAUGAUUUUGUUGAACAAAUGUCGUUCCAUUCUAAAACGACGUCUGAAGUACGUAUCAGGAAAUGCACUAUUAUGGACAAAAUAAUCGUCCAACUGCUCCACACCUCGUUGCUGCCUCCUUCUAUCAAGGUUUCCGAAACGGGUGGGCCUGUAUAUCUGAGCCACAACUUGGAUGACUCGACGGGAAUGUGAGUCUCUGGCCAUUCUUAAUUCGUCAUCUCUCAUUCUCCGCUCCUCAUCCUCUUCCUUCUCAUUUUGGGCUAUAUGGAGAUUGAAUAUUCCUUCAGAUUAGAUAAACAAUUCUUUCUCUUCUUGAUCGAUUUCCCACAUCAUGCUUGAAGAAGAAGACAUUGUAAGUAGAAACUAUAAAUAAUGAUACAGAUUUUGAUUUAGUGAAGAAGGAAGCAGAAACUAUGAAUAAUGAUAAAGAUAUUGAGAAAAUUGGUGUGAGAUUUAAAAGGAUGGAUGAUGGAUUAUAUGAAGGAUUCUGAAAUGAUUAGGUUGUAGAUAGUGCCACAUGGCAUGCCGUCAUUCGUUAAAAAUCUCAUCGAAUUCUAUCCUAAAAGAUUCUGAAAAGAUAACGACACGUGACACGACGACAUUGGAUAAAAAUCUUAUCGAAUCUAUCAUCAAUAAUUAUCUUUUCGGAUAAUGACAUGUGACGCAACGAUAACGAUUUAAAAUCUGAUUGAAAUCUAUCCUCAAAGAUUCUGAAAAGAUAAUAACACGUGGCACGAUGACAUUGGAUAAAAAUCUUAUCGAAAUCUAUGACCAAUAAUAGUCGUUUUGGGUAAAUGACAUGUGGCGCAUCGAGAACGAUUUAAAAUAUCUUAUCCGAAAUUACAAAUAAAUUUAUUUAGUAUUAUUUUGUAAAAAAAAAUUAAUAAUAUUUUACCAGGACUAUUCAAGUGCAAGGGUGGAGAUGCAAAAAUCAGUUACUGUUCAUUAGAGUAGUUAUUGUUCACAUGGUGGAUUGCAUAGUGGAUUGCCUGGGGAGAACUUCAAGGGUGAAGUUGCUCUAAUUGACAUUUUGUUUUGCUCUUUUACUCACUCUGUUUCUUGGCACCUACUACGUAGGCUAGCGGUACUGGAAACUUAAAGCACGCACAAGGAUCAAGUCCUUGAAAAAACAGAUCAAUCAUGUUACUCAGAGGUGAGAUCACCCGUUUUUUUCUUCCUUUUAUGUACAAUGAAUUAUGCAAACAUAAAACAUAUACUGAUACAAUUUGAUGUUUUCCAAAAAUAAAAAAUAUCCAUUCCUGCAGUUGUAAGCAGUUUGAUCUUCACACAGAAAAGGAAGGCAAUGCAAAUUUUCCCCGAAAGCGUGAGAGAAGCGUGGAACGAGUGGGAGCUUCGGGCCAUGGUUUUAAUCAGCCUUGCCUUGCAAACCAUCCUCAUCCUGAUCGGCAACUGGAGAAAGCAUUCAACCAGCAACAUACUCCGAAUUGUCCUCUGGCUCGCUUACUUGUCAGCUGACUCCGUAGCAACCGUCUCACUCGGGAUUCUCUCCAGCAACCAGGAAGACUCCGAAGGUGAUUCUGUAAACCCCAACUUUGUUAUAACAGCAUUCUGGGCACCGUUUCUUCUCUUGCAUCUCGGCGGUCCAGAUACGAUUACUGCUUACUCGUUGGAGGAUAAUGAGUUGUGGCCUAGGCACUUGCUUGGGGUAGUUGUCCAGGUGAUUGUAGCUUUGUAUGUGUUUAUAAGAGCAUGGUCUAGUAAAAUGUUGAAUUUUUUGGCAAUUCCCGUUUUCGUAGUUGGAAUUAUAAAAUUUGGGGAGAGGACUUGGGUUUUGAGGUCUGCAAGUAGUGAGCAUUUUCGAGAGUCUAUGCUCCCUCCUCCGGACGCAGGUCCGAAUUAUGCUAGAUACAUGGAAGAAUACAGCUCAAAGAAAGCUGAGGGGUUUAGGGUUGAACCGAAAACAUUCAUUGAAGCUCCCAUAGGUUUUGAUCAUUCCGAUGCAGUUCAAGCUAAUGAAUCUAGUAGUGCCCAAAAUGCUGCAGUUUUAAACAAAGCUUAUAGUUUCUUCGAAACUUUCAAGCGGCUGUGUGCCGAUCUCAUCCUCACCUUCCACGAUAUAGAAAACAGCCAAUCGUUCUUCCAACAUAGAAGCUCUGAGGAAGCUCUCGAGGUUAUUGAGUUCGAGCUAGGGUUCAUGUAUGAUGUGUUUUAUACUAAAUCACUUCUGGUUUAUUCUGGUCUUGGUGGAAUACUCCGUUGCAUUACUCUUUCUUUCACAGUUUGUGUGUUCCUGGCCUUCGUGUUGAUCACGGAGAAGCAAGAAUACAUGAAAGUGGAUGUAAUUAUCACAUACAUAUUGUUGGUAGGAGCUAUUGUCUUAGAAUUUUAUGCAGUUGUCAUCCUACUUUCAUCGGACUGGACCCUGCUGUGGCUGAGCAAGCACAAAAACACAGCAGUAGAUCUCUUGCUCAGAUUGGUUUCAUCAAUCGCUUUGAUAAAAAACAAGAGGUGGUCUAAUACCUUGGCACAAUACGACCUCAUAACAUUUUGUCUCAAAGAAAGGCCAGCAAAGUGCAUUUUCAUCAACGAGGACUGGUUUAUAAAUCGGUUACUAGAGAAGUAUCGAUACAGAGACUUGAAGGAUGUUUCCAAAGAGUUGAAGAAUUUGAUAUUUGGGCAGCUGCUAGAGAAGUCGAGGACUGCUUCUAAUUUCGAGGCCAGCAAACGAAAAGAACUAUGUGCUCGAAGGGGUGACAUGGUGCUUGAGAAAGCAAAAUGUCUAGAUGAACUUGGCUGGACAAUUAACGGGGCCGAAUUUGAUCAAAGCAUCCUUCUUUGGCAUAUUGCGACAAAUCUAUGUUACUAUUCUGAUCUGGAAUUUUAUCAUAGUCCAAAUUCUGAAGCCAGCAUUCUUAAAAAAAAUUCUGAAGCCAGCAAGGUGUUAUCAAACUAUAUGUUGUAUCUUUUGGUGAUGUGCCCCUUCAUGCUGCCAAAUGGGAUUGGACAGAUAAGGUUUAGAGACACCUGUGCCGAGGCUGAGGAAUUUAUCACCGAAAGAAAGUCCAUAAAGAAUAGAGAAACGGCCUGCAAAAUGUUGCUCAAAGUGAGCACAGACAUCCUUCCAUCGAAAGUGAAAGGAGAUAGAAGCAAGUCGGUUCUAUUUGAUGCAUGCAGGCUUGCUAAAGCUCUGCAGUUCCUUGAGUCUAAGAAACACUGGGAGAACAAUGAGAAAAAAUGGGAGUUUAUAAGUCAUGUGUGGGUGGAAAUGCUUGCUUUCGCUGCCAAUCAGUGCCGGUGGAGUGAUCAUGCUCAGCAGCUCAGGCGAGGAGGAGAGCUGCUCACUCAUAUCUGGCUUCUUAUGGCACAUCUUGGUUUAACUGAACAGUUUCAAAUUUCAGAGGGCCAUGUUAGGGCAAAGUUGAUUGUGGAGUGAAUUUAAGUGUCACUCACUACAAAGAAUGAUCCAUUUUCAAGAUGUCCUAACUAUGUUAUGCUUUUCAGAUUGUAACUCUGUAGUCCGACCAUAGACCGGAUUUUCAAUAUUGCUUAGUUAAUGUGCUGAUAUUAUUAUUCCCCCUAAACAUAUUGAUAAAUAACGAACAUUCUACAUUGAUAAUUUCUUAUAAAUCAUAUCGGACUUCACUUAUGUAGUAACGAUUCAUAAUUGGAGUGUAACUAAAAAUAAGAGGACUCGCCAGGUAUAAAUUACUUGGUAAAUAGACAGUUUGCAAUUACGAGAAAACAUUUAUCCUUGUAGUUCUUGCAAGGCCAUGGCUUGCCCUACAACUACAACAUCAAACUCCAAGUUGCUGACUCAAAUUAAUUGUCUAGGGGUGGACAUAAAAGCCGGCCAACGGAAAACACAUUAGAGCAACUCCACCGUUGGAGCCCUCCCCCCAGGCAAUACACUAUGUUAUCCACCCAGUGAACAGUAACUGCCCUAAUGAACAGUAAUCCCCCAGGCAAUACACUUUUGCAUCUCCACCGUUGCACUUCAAUAGCCCUGGCAAUAGGCAAUAAAAUAGUAGUAUUUUUUUAUUAUAAAAUAAUACAAAAUAAUUUUAUUUGUAAUUUCGGAUAAGAUUUUUAAUCGUUCUCGUUGCACCACGUAUUAUUAUCCGAAAAGUUAUAAAAUAAUACAAAAUAAUUUUAUUUGUAAUUUCGGAUAAGAUUUUUAUAGAAAAGUAAAAACAUUUUUUUUUUAAAUUUUCAGAUUUUUUUUUCGGAUUUUUUACAAUUUAAAUUUUUUUUAUUCAAAUAAUUAAUCUCUGCCAUUGGAUUUAAAAAAAUUGAAUUCCAACACUCCAGAUUGUGCCACGUGUUACAACGGUAACUUUUCUUAAUUUUAAAACUAUUUUUUCUUUUAUUUAUUUAUUUAUAAAGCAUAUUAAUAUCGACCGUUGAUAUUAAAUAAGAUUUUUUUUAUUUUUUUUACCGUUGAGAUCAAACAGUCCAAGUUAAAGAGCAGUUGAGAUCGAAUGGACCGUGGGAAGCCACAUGGCUUCCCAACGGUAUCAUUUCAGUCUGAAAAGAUGUCGGGCAAUGCGCCCCCACUCGCGAGUGGGGUGCACGUGCAUGACAGAAAAAAAUUAAAAAAUGGCCUGACACCGGGCUGAUGUCAGCCCUGGCAUCACAUCCACUCAAGCUCUCGGGCUGGCAAUUCUUCAUAGGCCUGGAGAUCGGGCCUCCACCUCCGCUUGGGAUCCCUUCACGCUAGAGCGAAUCCACAGGGCCUUGGGCCCUUUUCUCUAGCAUGUCCCCCAAGCAAUCCACCACGGUGGAGUUGCUCUUAGAUCAUAGUAGAUCCUUCGAUUUGGUUUGGUUUUUGUAAAAAGUGUGCCCUUUUGAAGCGGACAAAACCAACACUGAAAGUUUCCCACCCCCCCCCCCCAAAAAAAAACCCAACAUUGAAUGGUUCAGUUUCAGUCGAUUUGAUUGAACCUCAUAACAUUAUUCAAUUUGAUCGACAAUUUGAAAGUGGGGCGGGGCCGAACCGACCCAUGCUCACAUGAAAAUAAUUAUAAUAUGUUGUAUAAUAAUCGAUAUAUGUAUAGUUGCAUAUAAAGUAAAUAAAAUUAUUAACAAUUGUAUUAUAGAGACAAGACUUACUAUUUGAUCAACAACAAGACAAGAUUAUUCCACCUAAAAGUAUUCACUUUGGUUUGAAUUCUUCUUUUCACAACAUAAUGGUCAGAUAGAACCAAAUCAAACCAAAGCGAAUACAUUUAGGUGAAAUAGUCUUGUCUUGUUGUUGAUCAAAUAGUAAGUCUUGUCUAUAUAAUACAAUUAUGUUGUGAAAAGAUAAGACUACUCCAUCAUUUUCAAAUAAAAUAGUAAGUUUUGCCUCUAUAAUACAAGUAUAUUGUUGAUAAAAUAUAAGUCUUGUCUUGUCGUUGAUAAAAUAGUAAGUCUUGCCUCUAUAAUACAAGUAUAUUGUUGAUAAAAUAUAAGUCUUGUCUUGUUGUUGAUAAAAUAGUAAGUCUUGUCUUGUUCUAUCUGACCUAAAAAUAAGACUACUCCAUCAUUUUCAUUGUCCCCAACCUUAUCGUUUCGGUCAGAUAGAACCAAAUGCUACAUUAUUAUAACUUUUAAAAGAUAUUUUUGUUUGUAAUCAUUGAAUUAAAUUUCAAAGACCACGAUUGUCUGCUUAGCUGACUCUAUUUUUUAAGAUCAGGAGAGGAUCCUCUUCUAAUCCGUCCCCAACCUUACCUUUUCGGUCAGAUAGAACCAAAUGCUACAUUAUUAAAAUGUGCAGAUGCAAUUAUUAAUCUCUACCCCAACUAGGUGGAGGUAGAUUUUCCACCCUCCCACUUCCAUUGUCCUCUUGUUUUGUGUGUUAACGGUUAAGUCACUUUAAUAUUUUAUAUUAAUUUUUUUAUAGAGAUAAUAAGACAAAAAUAAAUAGUAAUAUAAAACGUUGAUGUGACUUAACCGUGAUCACACAAACAGAAGGGCACGAAAGGGCACAAGAAGUGGAAGGGCAGACUGCCUCCCAACUAGAUUCCACUAGAUUUGGCUUUCACUGUUGUUAGUCAGAGAGAGACAUGAAACAAGAAUUGUAAGGAGGCAGAUUGUCUGCCAUCCUGUUUUGAUGCAUUCCCCAUUCCCUUUUGUUUGUGCGAUUACGGUUAAACCACGUUAUUAUUUUAUAUUCUUACUAUUUUUUGUCUUAUUAUCUCUAUAAAAAAAUCAAUAUAAAAUAUUAAUGUGGCUUAACUGUGACCGCAUAAAACAGAAGAUGAUGAAAAUAACACCAAAACAGGAGGGCAGACAAUCUGCACUCCGAAUUGUAAACCGACGCUUUUCCAAAUCAAUAAUUAAUUUGGGAGAUCACAGCAGCACGACAAAAUCCUUGUAUACGGGCUGUUACAUACGGCAGCCCCCUAACAGAGGGUGGGACUCACGUCACGGUUGAAGCCCACUUCCUGUGAGAGAACUACGACAGCCGUAUGCUUGAAUUUUUCGAGCAGCAAGCAUGCAAGUUUUACAAGAAUUACCAUGAAAAUUCAAAGGUACUAACUUUACCACAUCUAAAUAAGUGAAUAAUGGGGUAUUUAAAAAAUACACUCCGACUUCUCGGGCAACCUUCUGUAGAAGUUAGCCAGGAUUGAUGGCAUUUGUUUCCUACGCCGCAACCUGGGGUGCCUCAUCAAGUAAAACCCACCAACAAUAACUACAACCUUCAACGGUGUCACAAACAACAAAAUGGCAACAAAAAGACAGAAUGUGAUGAAUAUAAAAGUGGCGCGAGGAUCCCGCCAACUGAUGAGAAAUUCCUGAAUCCGCUCCCCCAUCGUUGCAACAUCCCCCACCACAGUUUGAAUCCUUCCGGCAAUACUCCUCAAGCGGUCGUACCUCAUCUUCAUUAUUUCAUCGUUUUGUGAAGUUGGAAAUGUGUCAAAUUCUUCAUCAAGCUCAUCAGGGUGCGCAGCGUCUGCAUGUGAGAGCCUUGUGUCCACAUGGAGAGGGUGUCUUGGGCGGUACCGCAAGUUCGAAAUCCCUGUAAGGAACAUGUAUAGGAAAACAGUUGACAAAAUAAGUUCCGGAGUGCACACCAGCAUCACAAACAGGACAUGUACUAGCACUGUUAUAAUGGAACUUCUCCAUGCACAUACUUCAUCAAACCAUUUCAGAACAGAAAUGAACCAGGAUAAAACACCCAUCAUUCUGAAAAAGUUUGCCUUGCUGCGCCUCAGGCUCCAAACAUGAACAUCUGCAGCAUCAGAGUACAUGUAUUCAACUACUUCCUUCCCAAGAGGUGGUUCUACCUGAGCAAGCCUAUCUGCCACCACCAACACAGCUUGAUCCCUCAAUGUGCCUGGCUGCACCUUUACCGAAACGGGUUGAAAGUAAAUCAACAUCAGAUUGGCCAAUGAUAUGCAUGAAAACCUUAUUGCAAGAUGUAAUUCGCCCGUCUUCUUGACACCAGAAGGAGAAAGGGAUAGUAAUGGAUAACAGUGUGUGUACACGCGGUCUGAUUCGAGGGUAGAGAUUCGAAUCCGGACCUUGCCAAUUUCUUUAUCUUUUUUUCCACUUGAAUUGCCAAUCUGCCUGUUAUCAAAAACCCCGACUGUGAGAAUUGAGACAGGAUCAUAUACCUCCCAAGUGUACUGCUCACUGUAUUUUGGACUUGGGCUGUUAGUUAUGGUUCGAGUACGAACCCAUUUGUCGCCAAACUUCGCCACACAAUACGAGUCAGUUGUAGCCUUCCCAGUCUCUGUUUUCAUUGGCAUUAGGUCUUUGGCAUUUAGAACUCCGAGCUCUAAGACACCAACAGGCCGCUGCAGGUCGUUGCAAUAGUUAGAAGAAUCAUCAAGUAAAUGGUACCCUCCAUCUAGACAAACAUGGAGAUGGAUUCUCCUGGAAAACUUAUGAUCUCUAUCUUUCUCCAUGGCAUUUGACAGAGACAUGUCAAGGUUAAACCACUGCCCACAGAUAAUUUGAUCAUCAUCAGCAGAUUCACCGCACCUCUUAACGGAGUUCAAUGCUAUGGAAACUCUUCCUAAUGUCUCCUCUUUGUCUGGACAUACAUGAUCUUCAACAGAAACGAUCAGAUGUUGAUCAUCAAAGGGUUCGGCAGUGACAAACAUAAGUUCCUCAUUCCACAUUGGGUUCAGAGAUUGAACUUCUCUUGUCUUUAAACACUGAUGACCGAUUUGUAUACUUGCGUAUGCAUCUGGGAUUCGAGAUGUGUCAGGUACAACCAAGUCCCGUGCCUCAAUCACCUUUACCCGUACGUACCAUAAUCUUGGUGAAUCGUAAACUUUUGAGCGGACAUGUGUAUAAGCAGCUGAAGACAUAUCAUCAGGAAGAAUUAUAUCAGAAUACCAGGCAUUUGGAAAAGCUUCAUCAGCUUGAGUGCCAUACCAUACAGCAAGCAUUAGUUCCCCUUUCUUCUUCUUCUUCCCAUCCUUGUCUACUAGCUGAUGCCUUUCCGGAGCCACUGGAACUCGAGUCUGAACUUCAUCGAGAGCAAACUGCACAGACCCAACAAAGUCAUCAUUUACAAGUUCAUUGUCUUUGACCACAACAUCCAAAACAGAUGAGUGCAGAUUUUCCUUAAGAAAUGCAAACACCUCAUUCCAUUCAGGGUUCUGCUUUUUCUCCAAACUUCUUGUAAUUCCUUUGCAGUUCCCAACUUUCACUUCCACAUAUGCGUCACGACAAGAAAGGUCGAGGGCCUUCACAACGCGUACAAACAGGUAAUGCAUUGUUUCGACAAGCUCAUGGGUGCUGAUGACUGGACUGUCUCCACGCACAAAUCGCCCACGAACAACCUGCCCCCCUCCCAAGUAAGGACUUGACUCUUUAAGCAGAUAAUCAGACGGUCGAGAUGAAGAACCUGAGUUCUUCGGAGCAACUUUAGGAGGCUCAUGGGAUUCGGACUUCGCCUCAUGGUUCACCGAUGGCUGCGAUUGAUUUGGGUUUGCAAGGUAAGCCUUCAGAGCAAGCUCUCCUCUCACGCGGGAGAAAGAGAAAACACCUCUUUUUUUAAGAGAGUAGAGCGAAACAUGAGCAUCAGAGUAUGGGACAAAUGAUGUCCCAGGCAGACAAACCUUUCCAAGGAAAGUUGUAGAGUUGGCAUUUCCAUUGUGGAAAACAUUGGCCUCAACAACGAGGUCACGCAGGCGGUUUGGAUCGGAGACAUCAAAGAAGAUGGUUUCAUUCCAAACAUGAUUGACAUCUCUUGCUUUUGUGCUGGUUCGGGCUCUCUGACGAUCGAACAGGAACUCCACAUAAGCACUGGUUGUGCUUUGUCCAUGUCUCAGCAUAAGGUUAUGGGCACUCACAACCUCCACCGCUAACUUGAGGUUACUCAUUCCUGGAUUCGAAGUCAACGAAGAAUAGCAAGAAAAUAAGUACCAGAGAGAGAGAACCAAAAAGGUAGCUGAAAAUUUACAGAUAAUGUUAAAUGCAUGAACAACGAAAAACAGAACCACGUGGUAAAGGUCGAUGACAGAUGGAUGGCACUAUAGUCGUUUAUGAAUAAACAGAGUCAAGAAAAGUGGGUGGAGAUUAGUUUACAAAUGUAGAAAAAGCCGUAUAGAGAAGAGCAGGCCGGGAAGGGAUCCCCAUUUCUUAGAAAAUAAAAUAAAAUGGGGAACCUUCAUCACCGUUAAAUUUAACUUUAAUAAAAUUAUAUGGUUAAAAUUAAACCACAAGAAGAAAACAUAUAGUCUCCUUGUUUCUAUUGCUUUGUAAUUUCUGUUAAUGAGAGAGAUUAAUGUUACUGUUACUGUUCCUAGGACGCACACUUAACGAACCUUGUAAAUAUUAUUUCUUAUUUAUUUAUAUCUCAUUACACACAUAUCCUCAAUUUCACAACAAACCACAAAAAAAAAAAAACAGAAAAGGGAAUUGGAUCCCCUCCUAAGCAAAUGGUGGGGAUCCUCAUGACCACACAACACAGGAUCCAACGGCUAUAAUUAUUAUAAUUCUUAAAAGGAUCAUCUAUUUAUAACUGUUGGAUCAAAAUCUAACAACCUGUGUUGUGUGGUCAUGAGGAUCCCCACCAUUUGCUUAGGAGGGGAUCCAAUUCCAAAAAAAAAUAUAUUCCCAAUAAUUUAUGUGCUACCUACUCCUACAUCGGCCUCCCUUAUCAAUCAUGGAGCUGCGUACCCUACAGAGAGAGAGAGAGAGAGAGAGAGAGAGAGAGAGGGAGAGACUGCUUCAAUGGUCUGAGAAAGCAAAAAAGUUCAAAAGAAUAAUGUAACCUGAUCAGUGUCCGUAAAAGCAAAUUCCUCUACUCUUUCUUCUCCUUGAAUAUUUCAAUUUGUUUCUCCUUGCACUCACUGCAAAUUGAGCAAAUCCGUUUUCUUUAAACCAAAGCUGCUGCUACAUCAAUUCGCGGCCGCCGGAGAAGUCAUGGAUUUGAACCCUGCUGGAGAUCGAGGUUCGAAUUAUUUUGAUAAAGUUCUGUCUAUGGUUAGUUUUGCAUACAAUAAGGAGAGAGCAACCAAUUCCUCGCCAUUCAUUGAUUCCAUUCUCCACAAUGCUCACUUCCUUGUCUUUUUUGCUGUGUAUCUUAUUUGCCGUUAUGUAAAUCACAUAUCACUGUAUCAAGCACUUGUUUGUGUCGGCCUUACCCCAUUGUUUCUCUAUUUCUACAUCAACUAUGCGCCGUUUCUGUUCUUAGAGGAAGACAUCAAGUGGAUUCGAAGAGAGUCGAGGUUACUGCAUGCCAUCGUUGAGGAUGCAGAGAAAAUCAUGCAUUAUAGUGGUCUUAUAGGCGCAAGAGCACGCAAAAUCUGGGAUUCUAAUCCUGAUGGAGCAACCGUGAAAGGAGUUGAUGAAACUGAGGUUGCAUUGUUGGAUAAAGCCAAAUCCAUGGCUUUAAGAGCAAAAAAUUUGGUUGCGACCUUUGAGAAACAGAGGAUCGCAAGAGACUCCCACACCCAAAGAUUAUGUUUCGAUAUGAUCACUGAAAAUUUCCAGCAGGUAUCAGAGCUGUUCACAGAAACUAAGACUGUUAAGCAGGGCAUGAAGGAUAUCUUUGAGGGGAAUAAGGAUUACUGGAUUGGCAUUGGCGAAUCUCUGGAGAGGUCAAGGUCCAGUAUUAUAAGCCUGCUGCCCAGGCCCGUGCAUGGACAUGGUCAACAAAAAUGGGUGCAGUCCAAAGAACAAGUUUCCUCAGCAGCUGCUUUGGCGUCCACUGUCGAAGAGAACAUAAAACGUCUCAUCACUCAAAAGCCAGAUUUAAUGCGUAAAGAUACCGGAAAGCAAAUAAUUUCAAUAAACCUGCAACUGCAGCAACUGCAUCAUUUUCUGAAAGAUGUACAAGGAAUUCGAUUCGAAAGUGAAAUUGAAGGGGCCUGGGUGAAGGAAGUGCACGAGAUGAUUAAUGAAGCACAUCAUGCCAUUGACAAGUACUUGCAGAGAAUUAGGUGGCUAUCAUUUAUCAACAAUUGGAAGGCCGGGAGAAAGCUCAAGGGGGACAUAAGGUGUAUACACGUUGGGUUCACACAACUCUUAGAAAGGAAAGAUAGUUAUGGCUUCAAGUUUUUAAGAAGAGAUUCAUCAAAAUUCGUCUAUCAGUCCCCACAUCAGACUCAAGACGACUUAAUUAUUUCAACUAGAUUAAGCAGGAUGCAGGAGUUCCUCAGUAAGAAGUCACCUUUAUUGGGUGAAGUAUUUUAUGAAGUCACUUCGUUGUGCAAUCAAUUGGAAAGAAUGCAUAAACUCGUACUUGGCGCAUCAGUAACAGGAGGAGGAUAUAAUUCCAGAAUGUCUUGGUUGGAGCAAACCCGGAAAAUUUUUGAUAGUGCAGAGAAAUCUUUGACUACCUUUCAGUGGAAUUCACUCAAUAUGUGGCAAAACCCUCUAUUUAAAACAAGUGCUGGGAGGAAACUUUCCCGUGACAUUGACCUCAUAAAUCAUACUAUUGAUCUUUUCUUGAAAUGCAUCAGAGCAUAUGACAUUGAAGUAAGGGAAGAGUCAAACUCAGUGGUUGGUUUGGAAGAAGACACUGAAGCAGUGGUCUCACAACUGACAACCAACAACGAACACCGCUCGGUGAUUUCCAUUGUGGGGAUUGGGGGCAUAGGAAAGACAACACUGGCAAAGAAGAUUUAUGACAAUGGAGUUGUUGUAGACCAUUUUCCUUGCCGUGCCUGGGUUUCUAUACCUCAGAAGUCUGAUAACAAAGCACUUUUGGAAGAUGUGGCAGAGCAGGUAUUGAGGUCUCUUCAACUACAAGGGGAAAAAAAUCGCAAUGGAUCCUGGAUUCAUAAGGCGCAUGAUGUCUUGAAAGACAAAAGGUACCUUUUAGUUCUUGACGACAUCUCGACGGUAGAAGAAUUGGAGACCCUGAAAGCAGAAUUUCCAGUAACAUCAUCUGGAUGCAAAAUUCUGCUCACUACACGUGACAACAUUGUGGCUUCACAAGCAGACGCUCCCCACCAACUUCGACUUCGAACCAAAGAAGAGAGCUGGAAGUUGUUCACCCAGAUGGUGCACUUUCCGCCAACAGAGGAAUUACUAGCAAAAGAUAUUUUAGAUAAAUGUGGGGGUUUACCACAAGCAAUCUUCCAUGUUGGAUAUCUGAUGUUAGGGAAAGAUGCGAGCGUGGCUGAGGAGGUCAAAGGGGUGCUUAGAUACAUCAAACAGAAUGAUGCACCAUUGUUAGAAACCUUCACUAUAAGGUCCAUUCACUCGUCUCCUCAUCUAAGAAACUGUCUUUCUUACUUCAAACUCUUCCCCAACAACUUUGAAAUUCCGGCAAGGAGAUUAACCGCAUUGUGGAUUGCAGAAGGUUUGGUAGGAGAUCAGGAGACGGAAGAAACUGGCAAAGAUGUUGCAGAUAAGUAUUUGUCCGACUUGAUCCACCUGGACAUGAUUCAAGUAGUCAAAAGAAAGCACAACGGAGAAGUCAAGACAUGUCGAUUGCCAUAUGCUCUACAGAAAUUUGAGUUGCCAGAUAUGAGCCAAGAAAGACUUACUGAUCGUUAUAACAGAAGCGACGAGACAUUUACUCUUAUUCAUGGUGACAGCUCAAACGUUCCAAUUCCUGAUCUCGUUUCCAUCCUCUCCUUUGAUACUCGAGAAGGAAAUAAACCUGGAGAAGAAAUAGGCAACUUUCUACGAAGAGGCAUCGCAGGUGGUUUCUUCCAUCGGCUACAGGUUCUUGAUCUCGAACGUGUAUUCAGACCUGAAUUGCCCAAUACCAUAGGAAAGCUAAAAGAGUUGAGGUAUCUUGGUUUGAGGUGGACUUUCCUGGAAUCAGUCCCAGCAUCCAUAGGUGACUUGCUGAACCUCCAAACCUUGGAUGUGAAACAUACAUAUGUGCACACUCUCCCUGGUUCAAUAUGGAAACUGCAGACACUUCGACACUUGUACUUGAACCAGAGUAAACAGAGUAAAUUUAAGCAUCAACAAGGUGGAAGUUCCCUGAAGAAUCUGCGGACAUUAUGGGGAGUAUUUCUGGAUAAAGAUAGUCCCUUGAUCCACUGGAUGGACAAGCUGAUAUACCUCAGAAAAUUGGGAUUGGCAUUCCAGUUAAGCCAGCCAGAGCAAAAACCAUUAGCAGACAAGAUUGUUAAGCUGAAGAGCCUUCGGUCUUUGAGAAUGAGAUCAAUCGAUGAAAUGGGUGAACCCAGUGAUCUAGUCUGCGUGUGCUUAUCAGGCCUUGAGAGUCUCUCCUGCCUAAAUUUGUUCGGAAAGCUAAAUCCUUCCAUGAUAGAUGAAUUCCCAAAAAAUCUCACUGAUCUUACGUUGUCAGGUGCUUCUCUGUCAGUUGAUCCAAUGCCCGUGUUAGAGAAUCUCUCCAACCUGAAAUUCCUCAGUUUUUACUCCAACUCUUAUACAGGUAUCAAGAUGGUUUGCUCCACCACAGGGUUUCCAAAGCUUGUGGUUUUAAAGUUGUGGAAGCUCCAACAACUAAAAGAUUGGGAUGUGGAGGAAAAGGCAAUGCAAAAUCUGAGGGAGUUGGAGAUAAGAGCGUGCACAAAUUUGAAGGUCCCAAGUGGGUUGAGGCACUUGAAGAAUCUCACUCAGCUGAAAUUAACUAAUAUGCCGGAAGAAUUUGUUGCAACCAUUGCGACAACUAAGGUGCAAAUUUGGGAUGACAUAACUCACUCGCCAACAGUCAUUACCGAUAGCUGGUAGUCUAUGCGGAAUUAGUCACAGGCUCUCUCUCCAGUAAUCGGGUAUGUUUUGGUUUUUUUGUACUGUGUUUAUGUGUACAAGUACUGCGUAAUGAUGCUUGUUUUCUACAUGGAAAUCAUGUUCUAGAUCGAGUGACGCUCUUACUGGUUUAUUGCUUUCAGGUAACAUCGCCCAAUGCAUUUGACGCAUAGGGAACCUGACAGCCUAGUCCAUGUUGAGUUGCAACGGGUGAUAGGUUCUUAUGAACAUGUUCAAAUUUCCUUCAACAAAACUGGGUUUGUAAUGUAAUUAUAUCUUAAGGAAUUGUUGACGUUUGUGUUUAGUACUUGAUCACUGAUUUGCUAAGUUUUCGUUUUGUUAUUUGAUAGUAUGGAUGUUAUAAUAACAGUCACUCCCACUCUUUGUUUUCUUUGAUCAUAUAUUGAUUAUUAAAUACUGCAUUUUCCUAUUUAAAUGAUCGAUCCGAGUUAGUGCUCAUCUUCCUCCUUUGCAGCUUUGCUUCAAGGGAUAAUCUGGUACUGCAUAAUUAAUUUUUUUACUUAAUUAGUGCUAAGUAAUCUAAGAGGUCGCACUUGGUGCGAUGGUAAGUGCCUUCGCUCAUGAACGGUAAGUCUCGGGUUCGAGACUUGGGAGCAGAGCCUCUCCAUAAAUAGGGGUAAGGCUUCACCUCUCCCAGACCAUGCGUGCACUGGAUACGAUCUUUUUUUUUAGUGCUAAGUAAUCUCACAGUUAGUUUAAUUAGGGUCUGUAAAUUAGUGUUAAUAAUCUAACAAUUAGUUCAUUCGUAGAAUAUAGGAUAGACUACUUUCCCCUCUUGAUCUUCUCGGCACCUCGUGAUCAUCGAUAGCUCCCUCAGGCAAUAUCGGGACUCCGCGUAACUCUUUGAGAAGACGACGACCGCGAUCCUCGACCCUUCGAUUUCUCGGUCAAGUUCUCUCUGUAUAUUCUCCCCAUUUCUGAGCUCGUAGUCUAUAAAUGUGUUGAUUUCGGCACUGCUUAACGCAAUGAGAGGUGGUCUGUGAACCCAGUGCGUGUGUCCUCGCCUCUAAAGCUCAGGAACACCUCGUAGGUUUGAACGCCGAGAGGAAGACGAACCGGCGGCGGCGGCGGUUGCAAGGGCGAGGCUGCUGGUAUUCAUUGAUUUCAAGCAAAGAAGUGAAACUCCUGAUCGUUUCCCAAGAUUCCUAGCGAAACUCCUGAUUAAUGUUUUGGAUCGUUGGAAGAUGUGAGAGCAAAAAAUAAUGAAGAAAGUAGAGGGAGAGAAGAUGCAAGAUGCGGCUGAGUAAGAAAAUAUGGGAGGGAGAAAAAAAGGGUUUUUAUCACAAAUGGUCCCUGACAUUGAUCAAACACAUCAUUUUGGUCCCUGACAUUGAAAAUCAAUAGAAAUGGUCCCUUACAUUGAUCAAACACAUCACAAAUGGUCAUUCCGUUAAAAACUUUUUGGGCAAUUUUCAAAGCUUCGUAACUCAAUCGUUUUUUAACCAAAUUCGACCUAUGAUAUAUCAAAAUGAAGAUAGGAAAGUGUAGAACAAGAUUAUAUCUAUUUGGAAGCCCAAUGGUUGCCGAAGAUGGCCGGAAAAUAGCCUCAAAUGUGUCUGGUCCGCGAAAAAACUGGAAAACUCGCCUGAAAUGGGGUAAACUUUAAACAUUCAUAACUUCUUCAAUACUCAACGAAAUUGAGUGAUUCAAAAAUGAAAAUCAUACUUCUCAAUGAGACAAAGAGAAUGGUACCUUUAUUGACUGAUAAUUUACUGUGGUUUGACAGGAAAAUGGCUCGAACUUGGAUAACCAUUUUCGAGUUAGCCAAUUUCGAGUCUUUUUCCGGCCAAACUACGAUGAGUUAGCCAUCAAGAAAGAUACCAUUCUCUUAGUCUCGUCGAGAAGUAUGAUUUUCGUUUUUGAAUCACUCGAUUUCAUUGAUUAUUGAAGAAUUUAUGAAUGUUUAAAGUUUACCCAAUUUCAGGCGAGUUUUCCAGUUUUUUUGCUGACCAGUAACAUUGGAGGCUAUUUUCCGGCCAUCUCCAUCAACCAUUGGGCUGCCAAAUAGGUAUAAUCUUGUUCUACACGUUCCUAUCUUCAUUUUGAUAUAUCAUGGGUCGAAUUUGGUUAAGAAACGAUUGAGUUACGAAACUUUGAAAAUUGCCCAAAAAGUUUUUAACGGAAGGACCAUUUGUGAUGUGUUUGAUCAAUGUCAGGGACCCUUUCUAUUGAUUUUCAAUGUCAGGGAUCAAAAUGAUGUGUUUGAUCAAUGUCAGGGACUAUUUGUGAUAAAAAUCCGAGAAAAAAAUAACAAAAACUGGGAUUGAAAAUUUGAGUUUUAACGAUAAUGACAAAAUAAAUGGUAAAAUGAAUAAUAUCAGGUUUAAUUUUUUAAUGUAAAAAUAUGGUUUUUUGUUAAAAUGAACAGUACCGUGAUCUUUUCGUUAAAAUUCUCAUAAUAAUAUGCCCGCAUUUGUAGUAAGAAGGCUUUUCUUAACAGACCUAGCUUCUCUGUCCUCUCACUUUUCAUAUACUCUCAUCCCCUCUUAUUUGUACGGUCACGGUUAAGUCACGUUCACAUUUUAUAUUACUAUUAUUUUUUAUCUUAUUAUCUCUAUACAAAAAUCAAUAUAAAAUGUUGACAUAGCUUAACCGUGAUCGCACAAAAAGAUGGUGAUGAAAAUGUAUUGAAAGUGGAAGGGCAGAGAAGCCGGAUCCUUUCUUUACAUGGACUUGAUUGAUUAAGUCUAAUCUACCAAUAUAUUAUAUUUAAUAGGCCUUAUUAUUCUUAGAGGUUGUCAUUGUCGACGGCAACGCGAUCAUUAUUCAAAGCAUAAUCAGUUUUUAAUUAAGGUGGAUCAGCUGUUCUUAUUGGUUUGAAACAUUCAAACUAUUAAAAUAUAAUAUAGUUUUGAAUAAUUGCUAGUGGACGUAUUAAACGAGAGUGCGAGAGGCACGAUAACGAUUCUUAUUGAAAAAUUUAAUCCAUAACACAUGAUGCAAAUUAAUUAAAUACAUAUUCAUAUAGGCCAUGAAAUUUAUAAAUCAAGACGUGCUCAAUUAUCAAAUUUAUUAAAAAUUUCUAAGUACCUCAUUAUUUUGUUUGGAUUGAUCAGUUGACCCGAUUAAAAUGCCCACCCUACUUGGGAACCUGCAUUUACAUCGAAUAUGAGAACUUGGCUAGGUCUCGUCCAUGUCCUUAGUACAAUUAUCCAUUAAUGGUCAUAUAUAAUGUAAUGGCAUUUUUUUUUUGAACCAUCAUAUUUGACCAUCAAUAAAUGAUUGCAAUAAGUACUUCAAUCCCUAGCUAAUAUUAUUAAACUCGAAUCGCAACGUUUACAUCGAAAGUCAGAGUAUUAAACAACUCUUGCUCCACGGCUACCUAGUGUCCCCAUUAAAAUUGAAAGAAGGCUAGAUGUGCUCUUAGCAAAUUAUUAUUGGCACUUCAAAAAUCUCAUUUGCACUCCAAACUUUCUAUAAUUAGAAAGAAAAAUGUACUUGUGAGGAUUGUAGAAUGAGAUUGUUGAACUGCUAAUAACAGUUCCCUAAAUAAAUAAAUAAAAGUAAGAUAUAUUCGGUUCGGUUUUAGAAUCAUUGAAACCGAAACCAAACCAAAUGAUUUCGGUUCGAUUCGAUUUUUUGUUCAAUUCGUUUUUUAGGUUUCGGUUCAGUGUUCCCUUCAUUUUUUUUCCUAUUUUUAAUCCACCCUUAGUUCACGACCUUAUUCUAUUUUAAAGGUGGUGUACAGGUUGGUUCAACUGAUGUUGAUGGACGUCAUGGGUUUAUGAACAAACAUAACAAGGUUGCACUGGACAUAGACAAGGUUGCAUUGGACAUGGCACAUGUUUGUGGGUUUUGCAUUGAUUGAAUUGUAUUUUAAAUGCAGACAGAUGAGCCAGAGUUUGGCAAUCAAUGCUCCAAUUAGGACAAAGUCUGAGGACCAAUUCUAACAUUAACAAAAUAUAAUAUGCUAACAUUAAAAUAUAAUCAUAAUGAUUCACAUGUGAUGAGUUCAUAGUCACGUGAUGUUUUAAUAUUGUAUGUAUAAUUUUUUUAAAGACAUCACGUUACGAAGGCCGUUUCAGUUGAAGAGCUUUGCAAAACCUUUAGCAUAGAAUGGAAAAAUGACCAACCAAUGUUGGAGAUGAUUUGUUGGGAUGAACUAAAUAUAACUAUAAAACAGGUAAAAGGCAGUAGCCUAGCGAAGUGCGUGCUACUGCUUUUUACUAUAUUUUUUUCGUAAUAGGAAAAAUGGGCGGUGGAAAGAGGAUGAGAGCCUACGGACCCUAAUGAGCUUGACCACUGGUUUGAUUGAUGGCUAAUAAUUAACAUCUCAUUUUCUAUGAAUUCUAGCACAAUUAGGGUUGAUAUAAGUUAAUGCAAAAAAGUGUGAGCCUAAGAUUUUGGAUUGGAAAAUACAAAAGAUUCUUGAAUAAAAGGAAAAUAACGUAUUUGUCAUGGGUUGUGCGUUCUUUUAUAUCUGUCAUUGACGGAUUAGUCGUCGUUAUCACCAAAUUCAUAUGGUAUAGUAUGAUAGUCGUCGUCACCACCAAACACAUAUGGUAUAGUAUGAUAGUCCUCCUCAUUAGUGUUACCAGGCUCAUAUAAUGUACGCUCAUAAUGCACCUUAUUCACUCAUGAACGUAAAAACUAUAGGAAAAUAAAAAUCGGUAGAGAGUAAGAGAAUUAGUGAAAAAGAAAGAGAGUGGUAGUUUGCAAAAAUGACUUAAUGGUCUGUCUAUUCACAUAACUAUGAAUAUUUUAGUUGAUUUUGUACACACAUUUAAGUGAGUUAUGUAUCUGUUGAAUAGUUUAGAUUCAUAAAUCUGGAUUUUCUUAAUUCUUAAAAUUGGUAUCUUAAUUUGAUAAAAUGUGAAGCAUUUAUCCUUCACACAUUCAUAACAAACGAAACAUGUAACAUACGUUUCAUUUGCUUAAUUCUGCCGACAAUUCUCAUGCAAAUGCUACAAGUUUUAUAAAAUUCUAUACAUCUCGUCAAAUAGAGAAAAAAAACACACCACACAAGGGAAAAAAACGAAGAAAACCCACUUGGUUGGAUUCGACACAUGCAACAUAUAGCCACAACAAGUGUGACCACUACCGAAACUCGAUCUGGUUAUUUUGGGUGACCAAGUGGUUCUUCUGCAUCAAAAGGAGGGAAGUCCUUGCUAAUCUGCUUGCAUCAUGUAACAGCGGGAAAUCAGUGGCGCAAUUGCACUCUCAAACCCUCAAAGCCGGCCUUUUCCAAUACGGCUUCUUUUCCACAAAACUCAACGCUCUGUACGCAAAGUAUGAGUCCCUCGUCAUGCCCGCAAGGUGUUCGACGAAACGCCCCACAGAACUGUCUAUCUCUGGAACGCCACCCUUAGGAGCUCCUGUAGAGAGAAUUGAUGGGAAGAGACCUUGUGUCUAUUUCGUAACAUGAUACCCGAGUCAAGAGGCAAUGAUGAAAAGCCUGAUAAUUUCACCAUUCUCAUUGCUCUGAAGGCGUGUGCGAGGUGAAGGGCACUGGUGUGUGGAAAAAUAAUACAGGGUUUGUGAAGAAACAUGAGAAGGUAGCAUUGAAUAUGUUUGUGGGUUCUGCGGUGAUUAAAUUGUAUUCCAAAUGUAGAGAAAUGGGCGAGGCUGUGAAAGUGUUUGAUAAGUUUCCUCAACCGGAUGUGUUUUUAUGUACUUCUAUGGUUACUGGAUAUGAGCAUAAUGGUGAUCUUGAACAAGCACUGGAGUUUUUUCUCCCGAAUUGUGAUGUUGGGGCUCAUUAAUCCUGACCGAGUGACGCUUGUUAGUGCUGUUUCAGCUUGUGCACGGUUAUCAAAUUUUAGAAUUGGAAGUUGUGAGCAUGGUGUUUCUAUUAGGAACGGAUUCGACUCUGAUUUAUCUUUAGGUAAUGCGUUGCUAAAUCUCUAUGCAAAGACGGGUUUGGUCAAAACUGCCACUAGGUUGUUCACAAAGAUGCCGGAAAAAGAUGUGGCUUCUUGGAGCUCCAUGAUUGCCUGUUACGCUCAUGAUGGGGAUGUAACAUAAGCGUUAAAUCUUUUCAACGAAAUGAUUGAUAUGAGAAUUAAACCUAAUUCAGUGACUCUGGUAAGUGCGUUGCAAGCAUGUGCACUGAUGAGUGCAUAUUUUACCAUUUAUUUUAGCCCAAAAGCUACAUUUUCUUGUGACAUUUUAGACUUAAAUGAAAGGAAUAACAUGGUUUUGUGUUUUUAUAAUUAAAUUAAUGAGUUGCAGAAAAAUCAUGUUAUAAUUCCAUGGUUUUAAUUUAAUCAUGUGAUCUUAUUCUAAUUUAAAUUUCUAUGCCUACGGCCUUUGAUUGAAGUAUGUAGGCUAUUUGGUUUCAGAAUAUACAAUUGGCUUAAAUUGACUAAUCUUGUAAUUUAAUUGCAGGUCACGAAUGAGUAUUAAGUUUGGUGAGUUAUGGGGAAGAAAAGAAAAACACAACAACAAAAUGAAUCAAAUAAAAUGAGGGCAAAAUGAGGGCAACAAGGGGAGUGGACGAAAGGUGAAAGGGGAAAUUAGUUUCUUUGAAAUGGGGUGGGGGGAGACCGAGAGAGGAAUAAACACGACACACACUUGCAUGUAAAUUUCUCUAAUGUCAUUAAUGAAUCAAAUAAAAAAUUAUUAAUUUAUUUGAUAAGAAAAUAAGCUACUUAUAUGUUUAAUUAAGAACUCGUUUGGCAUUGCUUCGCUAAAAACGCUUCAGCUAAAAGUGCUUUUAUUAUAUCCACAUUGAAACUCUUAUUAAAAAUUCAAGUGCUUUCUAAAAAAGACACUUUGGAAUGCUUUCUUUCAUUUCCCAAUUGUUUCUUCUUCAUCGUCAAAGCUUUCGAUAUUGAGAUCAGAUAACCUCAAAUCUUUUGCAAGGUUGGACCUCAUCAGAUGAGUAAUCGCUUAACUCUUUAUCGUCGUCAGAGGCCUCCUCAUCAGACUCAUAUGGUGCAGUCUGAUAGUCCUCUUCCUCAUCAGACUCAUAUGGUGCAGUCUGAUAGUCCUCUUCCUCAUCAGUAUCUUCAUCAGACUCGUAUGGCACACGAUCAUAGUCCACAUAUUUCCAAUCUGAAUCUGCAAAUUCCCAUUCUACGAUAUCCACUCCUGUUUUCUUCACCUUAAUUUGUUGAUCAUCCUCUGUUUCAAUAAAGUCUGCAUGCACACGAACCUUGUCGCCACCUUUCAGAUUGAGCUUCUUGUUCGUAAGAUUUCCCAGCCAAAGAUAACAUUCAUGGGAAGCAGUUACGGUGGUCACCAAUGGCCAAAUGUGAAAACGAGUUCGCUGGGUACGAUUAACAACAUGAAUGCAUAAGGACCCAGUACAGUCUGAGUUGUCCGAAGAAUAAAUGAUGCACACAACCAACCCUCCUAUAUAAUCAAAAGUAAGCGGCAUUUCAAUUUCGACAGUUUCAUCCUGUCGCGCUACAUAGGGUAACCGGCGAGGAAUAUCAUUUACAGAGAGAGAAAGUCCACCAAUUGUAUACCCCUUCCAUUUC